RNAcentral lists this long non-coding RNA (50828 nucleotides) under Phaseolus vulgaris (common bean). RNAcentral's name for it is "long non-coding RNA (PVUL_LNC000061)". Lineage: Eukaryota; Viridiplantae; Streptophyta; Magnoliopsida; Fabales; Fabaceae. The record is from RNAcentral.
UAGGUCAUCGAAAGGAUCUCGAAGACCCACCAACACGAAAGCUGUUGGGAUCUUUCAGAAAAUAGAUUCCUAUUCGAAGGGUGCAUAACCGCAUGGAUAAGCUCACACUAACCCGUCAAUUUGGGAUUCAAUUCGGUUCCGAGGUAUCGGGAAGGAAUUGGAAUGUAAUCAUAUCGAUUCAUCCAGAUACAGAAGAAAGAGUUCUCUAAUGAUGUAUGUUUUUGCAAAUUAUUCAAAAUCUGAAAACCAAGUUAUUUGUCUCAUAGGUUUGAUUUAUUUAAACAUUUCAAAUAUAUAUUAUUAUGCAAAAAUAAAAUAAGUUAAUUAACGAGUUAGGAGGGGAGAGAAAGGUGAGCAGAAAGAGAAAGAGAGGUUGGAAAGUAAAAAAAAGAUUUAGAUGUAAUACCUUUUUUUUAUCUUUUCUUCCCUCCCUAUAUUUUUUUUUUUAGAGUACUUAUCUUCUACAUCAUAUACAUACACUCUUUGUACUAACCAUCAACCUGUAAAAACAUGACUUUCACUUACUUGAACUACAGAAUCUGUUUCUAUGUCUUUUUCUUAAUGUUUUAAUUUAUUGUCUUCUUAACAUAAAUUUGUUAUAUAUAUAUAUAUAAUAUAUAUACAAUUACUUACGUUAAUUCCAUUUACUAUCAUUUUUAUAAUAAAACUUUAUUUUUAAUAAUUUUGAUAUUAACUAAUAUUAUUAACUAUUUAUAUAUUAUUAUUUAUUCUUAAUAUUUUUAAAUGAAUUUCUUAAACAUAUAUCUCAUGAAUAAUAUAUAUAUAGUAACUAAAAAUUAUUUUUUUUAAAACAUAUAUAGUUAAAUUUAAUAUAAAUCUCGAUAUUUAGUUUUAGUCAAUAGUUAUAAUUAAAAUUAAAAUAAAUAAAACUAAAUACAAAAUAUUAAAGUUAAUAUUAAUUAAAUAAAUUUAAUAACUUAAGCUUUAUAUAAUAGGUGUUUAUGGGUUAGACUUAGUUUCAUCAAACUUGACCUUAAAGUAAUUUGGGUUUGAUAUAUGAUUUUUUUUAUUAAAUUCAAACUAAAUCAAUCCUGUUAAUAGUAGAUUUAGAUCAAUAGAUAAAAAAUAAUUAAAAUUAUUUUAUAUAUUUUUUAAAAUGUUUUUCCUUUUUGGAAAAUAAAUAUUUUUCAUGAAAUAAAAAUCUAAACUUACACAUUUUCCAUGAUUAAAAAAAGUAUUUAACCCUUUAUUAAAUACAAUUGCCUGUGGUUUCCUAAUUUUAUUGCAUUUUCCUUUACAAUUAUAUUUUGUAGACUAUAACUUAAAAAGAAAACUAUACCAGGUCCCAUGGUAAUUCUGACUAAUUUCUAUGUUAGCCAUAUUUAAUUUUUUAAUUUAUGAAAAUAUGAUUUUUUUUUUUAUCGGCAAACAAAAUAUGAGAAUAGUAUUAGAUUAACUGUCAUGUAAAAAUUAGUUAGAUCAUAAUAAUCUACCUCCUAUUUUGUUUUUCAAAAUUUAAGACCAUGAUAUAUUAUACUAUGACAUCUAAAUAUAUACUUAAUUGAAUCUAAGUUUGAAAAUUGUAGUUUUUUUUUAAACUUUUAUAAUGAUACAUUGGAUAUAGCGUUGACUUUUAUCAAGUUUUAAGUGAUAUUCAUCAAAAUUGGAGGAUUUUUUAUCAUAAUAGUAAGUUUUCAUUCUCUUUAUCAGUAAUAAAUAAAUUAAAUAAUUGGAAUAUUUUAAGAAUACUUUAACCCUUAUACUAAUCUCUUAACACACUUUAACUAGCAUGUAGUAGAAUAACAGUCUUAACUAAUAGAACUUUGUCUAGAUAUUUAGAACAUUUUUAAUGGGAAUUUCCGUUCACAAGGUUCAUAUUUGAUACCUUGUUUAAGGAAAUUGAGUCCAGUACUCUUGAGAUUAACACCUUUAACUGGGAUUGUUUUUGGCAUACCAAAUUUGAGGCAGGGAUAUAUUUAUCUUUGUUCUAGGUUGAUAAUAUUAGUUGGAUGUUGCAUUUGAGAGGAUGAUUGGUUAAAAACAUUUUCACUAAGGUGUUUUACUUGUAGUUAUGUAUGAUUUGAGUGCAUGUAGGAAAAAUUGCUGUCUUUAGACUCUAGUGGUCAAGAGGCUUAUGGCAAAAACAGUCUUUAGACUUAUUACUGGUUUAAACUCUAUUUGAGCAAUGACUUGGAAAGCAAGAUUUGUAAGGUGUUGAACAAGUUUUCUAUUUCUUGGUAAUGUUAUUAAAGAUGUUUUUUUUUUUGUUUAAAAAUUCUUUUAUUCUUGUACAUUCAGGUUCUAGAAGGUAUAAUUAAGUAUAGAUGGAAUGCAUUACCUGUUGAGCAGAGAGAUGAAAUGAAAAAUUUCAUCUCUGAUGUCAUUGUACAGGUACGAACCACAUUUAAAGAAAUCAGAGAUUGGACCAUUUCAGUUUUUCUUAGAUUUUUUAUGGACACCAAGCUUGUCUGCAUUAUUUAUCUCAUUAUUGACUUUUUUUGCUAGCUUUCUAGCAAUAAUGCUUCAUUUCGAGCAGAAAGGCUGUAUGUCAACAAGUUCAGGUAAAAAUAGUUGUUCUGUUCUGUCAUUUCGACUGAUUAUUCUGUUUAAAUUAUCAGUCUCACAAACCAUUGUUCAUCAAGUAUGUUUUAUCCCAUAUUUUUCCAUAUUUUCGAUUGUCUACCUUGUUGAAAGGUCUGAAAUGUGAGCAUUCCUUUAUAAGUUUUAGUUCCUCUUUCAUUUUAAAUAGUAUUAUUAACCAAGACGUCUUUCCUCUACCAGAAUUUUAACAGGACAUGUGUUCUACCUGUAUUUAAUUUUCCAUUUUAAUUGACAUGUUCUGACUUUCUCAAUUAAGUUAAAUCCAAUGUGAUAGUAAACAAAUACUAGAUUUUGCUGCUUUAAUGGUAUAUCUUACUGAAUUUUCUAACUCUUGGUCUCCUACGAAACUUACUGUUAUUUUCACAGGUGUUAGAGGGCAUUUGUUGGUAGCCUUGGGGUAUGGUUUAUGGCCAUCAAUGGUUCUUAUCUCUGAAGAUGUCCAGACCUUUUCUGUUACUAUUAUGUCAAAAGGUUGGUUUAGUUUCUAAUGUAGUUCUUUUUCUCCCUGGCAUUCGUUUAAUGCUUCUGCUCAGAGUUUCUCAACAUCACUCCAGCACUUCUCUUGUAUAUUUGACCUCAUUAUUUUUAUUUAAUUGCAGUGUUUUCGGGGGACAGCUUGUUCUAUGGUCGGUUACCCUUGUUAGAGUACAUUUUGUGUUGGCUCACUUGUUUGGUUCUUUGGUGGAGUGUAAACUUGUACCAUCCUAAUAUUUCAAUCUCUUGGAGUUAUAUAAAGUAAAGGUGUUCUGAUAAGUAUCUGAUUCAUGGUAUGAGCAUUGUAGGGAGUCACCAUAAUACUUCUUUUAUUGGAUUUUCUGCUUUUAAAGUGUUGAAUUUGCUUUCGAUCGAGUCAUGUCUCACAUAACCACACCUGUGAUAAUAAUAUCAAUAAGCAUGAGACUUCAAGCACACAAGUUCCUUGCAAGAAUUCCCUCAAAUGUAAUUCCGGGUCCAAAUGCAAGUAUCAAGCCCCAUUCAGAAUCUCCUCUACCAUCUUUUCUAGUCUUGAGAGCCUCCUCUAUCAUAUACUCCAGCACAUACACAAUGGUGUUGCUGCUAGCAUUGCCAUAAUCCAUGAGAGCCCUUCUACUUGCACUUAGCUUCUCGGGUAACAAAUCAAGUCUCUUCUCAAUGCGAUUCAAGAUGGCAGGCCCCCCUGGAUGCACAGCCCAAAACACCUUGUUGUACUCCUUAUUCUGGAACCCAACAACACUCAUUAAUUUCUCACAGAAUCCUUCAACAUUGUCUUCAAUUAUCUGAGGAAGUUCCCUUGCUAGCUUGAAGCUUAUCCCCUCUUCUGUCAGCCUCCCAUCAAUUUUCUUCUCAGUGUGUGGCAAAAACUCCUGAACUGCAGUGUGAAGCUCAAAGAGAGGCUUCUCAUACUCCAAUAUUGGGUCUGACCCAAUUAUCAUGGCACCAGCACCAUCCCCAAAGAGUGCCACCCCGACAAGAUCAUAGGGUCUAUCUGCACUUGGUGGCUUGAACCCAAUAAUUGUAGUUUCUGAGGUAGCAAGCAACACCCGACUUCCAGGGUUGUUCUCAGCUAUGUCCUUUGCAACACGUAGGCCAGCCACACCUCCUGAACAACCAGCGAAAUAGAGCAUGAUUCGUUGGGUAUCAGGGCUCAGUCCUAGUCCUUUCGCUAGGUAAAGAUCACCACCAGGUAGUCUUGCUUCACUAGAUGACACAUAAACCAAAUGUGUUAUGUCUGAUAAUGAUCCACCCCAGUUCUUAAUGCAACCUAGUGCAGCCUCAAUGGCCAUUUCUGUCACUGCCUCGUUGCAUAUCUCUAGCCUCUGCUUCACUGUGGGGGUGCCUUCAGUCACAAGCUCUGGAUACUUUAUCAGUAUUUCCUCUGACAUAACCACGUACCUUGUUUUCACUGUGGUUGUUUUGCCUGUUUAUACCACAUCAAGCCAAAGUCAGUGUCUCAUUGACCUGCCUUGAGGUUUAUUUUAUUAAAAUCAGUUUGGUUUGGUUUCUGUUUAGUAAUUUUGCACGUGGCUUCAAAUCAACUUCCAAACGAAAGCAACAUCAGGGUUUGUUUUAAACAUACAUUUUAACUCUCUUUUUUAUCAAAAAAGAAUAAAUAAAAUAAAAUGAGGUAUUAUAGGAGUGUCUCAAUCCUUGUAAAAAAUCUCAAAUCAAGCUUCCAAGCACCCAACCAGCUGAGGAUCCAGCAGACAUUAUAACACAUCGAAUAUAUUAACAUAUGAGAUCAAGAUACAAGAGCACAACAAAUACAAUUACAUUAACCUUCAAAGGAAUCACAUUCUCAAAACAAGACACAACAGUCCAACAACUAAACAAGAUCUUUGUCAGCAAACAGAAACAGAAGUACACAAAACAUCCAAGUACAUUUGCAACUUUUGAUCCAAACAUUCAUAACAAGUUUGGGUAAAGCCAUUGUUUGUUGUAUUCAAACAUGAUUUCAGGUUUCCACACAUUGUUGUAUUCAAACAUGAUUUCAGGUUUCCACACAUUGUUGUAUUCAAACAUGAUUUCAGGUUUCCAACUGUUUGAAGAGUAAAAGGUGGUGGAAAUAAAGAGUACACAAAUCACCUGACAUGAAUAACAAUAUCCCUAUGUAUACAUAGAAAAGGGUAAAUUGGUGAAAGCUUGUGUGUGUACUUACAAAGUCUAGUGAGCUUCUGCUUAAGCUCAGGAUUGUCACAGUUUGUGCUCCUGAAAUAUCCAUCAACUAAAUACUCUUGCAUGACAAGCUGUGGAGGGAAAGCCUUGCCAAGAGCUAAUAUGGUAGCCUUCCCAGGGUUGACCCCUUUCUUUGUAACACCUUUCCAAAUACCUUCUUCUCCCAUAUUUCUUCUUAGGUAGUGAUAUCAGAUGCAUGUAAUUUCCUCUACCUAGAGAAAGCAGAACCAGUUGUAUAUAUAAUCUUCCAAGCAUGUCUAUGACUUUGUGGCGUGACAAGUUUAUAAUAGUAUUACUUGAUGCACACAACUUUUGUUAUAUGUAUAAAAUGUGGGUUAGUUAGGAGGCAAGUUGUUCAUGGAGAUCAUAUUGCAUUAGUUGAUGGGAAGAUGUUGAGGAUUUGUUUUUCAGUUGAAGUUAGAUCAACCACACAAAUGGCACCAACCAUGAACCAUGAACCAUCUUAAGUCACUUCAACUACCAUGAUUAAGGUGGUCAACAUAACACUUGAGAUAAGAAAAAUCCCCAGCAACAAUACUGAACAAUAUGGAUUUGCUAUCUAACCAUCCAUCUCUCUCUAAUGCUGCCACAUUGAUCCUUAAAAUCAAAGAUUAACAAUUAUCUUUUUCUUCAGUAAAAAAACUUUUUUAGCAAAAUUUGAGUUGGUAUAUAACAUUCAUACUGAAAAAUGUGCUUAUGACUAAAUAGUUGCACAUGUAGGUCUUGAAAUGUAAAAAUAUUAUGUUGGGUUAAAAAUGUAUGAAUCAUGUUUCAUUCAUAUAUGUAUAUAUAUUAAUCAACAUAAUUAUUCAUAUAUUUUUUAUCUCUAUGACUUCUGUGCUUCUAUCUUCUUUGCAAACACAGUGGCAGUAUACUAUGCAUAUAAAUGUUACUGGUGUAUUUUCAUGAAUGGAAUAAGUAGGUACCAGCAAUGCUCCCUGGUAUGGUUGAUGGAGACCGUUCUCAGCUUCUUCCGCGCCGACAGCUGUAUGCUGGUCCCAUGUCAAAGUUGAGAAUGCUCAUGAUCUGUCGAAUGCCAAAACCUGAAGAAGUUCUCAUAGUUGAAGAUGGAAAUGGGAACAUCCUUAGUGAAACCUUGAAGGACAAUGAUGUGCAUGUUCGGUACAAGGUUAUAAGGUGACACCUUAAUUCUGCUAAAAGUCUGUUGAAUAUUCAUAUCUAUACAUUAAAAAACUGUCUCAGUUUUUAUCCUCAGAAUAGUGUUUUAAUAGAUUGGUUAUGUAUAGUAUUGUUUGUGAUAUUCAGUUAAUUGGAGACACUUUUUGAUUGGCAAUCACUGGGAAAAAUGCGAGAUUACUACUCUAGAUGUUAGUGCCGUCAUUCCAAGUAAUGACUAUGUCAUGAACACAUACAAUUAAUUACACACAUUUAAUAUGGCAAUAAAUGGCUGAAUUAUUCAAAGAGGGACUAAUGAGGUCAGUGGGAGCAAUGUUGGGGUGUGAUGUUUCCCUGACUGGAAGGUUGUACAUAAGUUGUUUGAGUUUAUGCAUGAGACCCAUCUUGGAGUUCAGGUUAUUUUUCCUACUUUGAAGCUUUCUGUCUCUACUUUUGCUAGCAUAUUAUUCCUUAUCAUACAAAUCAUGGGUUGGUGGAAUAUAAUCUUAAUCUAAGCUAACACCUCUUUACUAUGUUUAUUUUGUUUGUGGUGGGUCUUUGUUUCAGGAUAUGGCUUGUGAUACAUUUCUGAAAAUAGUUCAGAAGUGCAAGCGUGAAUUUGUGAUCACGCAGGUCUGCAAAUUUUUUCCUUCCUAAAUAUGUAGCCAUUUUAUUACAAUCUUGCAUAUAACUUGAGUACAUAAUCUAACUGCCUCAAUGAUUGGUAUUUCAGGUUGGGGAAAAUGAACCGUUUGUGUGUGAGAUUCUGAAUGGCCUUCCCAACAGCAUUAUGGAUCUUGAACCCCAUCAAAUACAUUCUUUCCAUAAAUCUGUAUGCCUUUAGAAAUCUAUAAUCUCAAGUUCAUUGGUUAAAUAUAUAUACAUGUUUUUUUCCCAUAUGCUCUAUUUAUAUACUUGUGUUUGCACAUAUUUAAGUAAUAUUCUUGUUUUGUAGGUUCAUCACAUGAUUGAGGCUGAGUCUAAUGUGCAGAAGAAAAAUGAAUAUUUUCAGCGGUUGAUGGAGCUCCAAAAUCAGGUCUUCCGCUAAAUAAUUUUCAUUCUGCUAAAUAAAAACAUAUUACAAAGAAAAUAAAUGUAAAAUUUAAAGAAUUGAAAUACACAUUUAUAUACAAUUCUCAAAACGGUAUAUUCUAGAAUUAAACUAUCUCAGAAAAUUACUUUCCAAAACUCUCUUGAAAGGUAUCCUGGAAUGAUGAAAAAAAUGAAAAAAAAAUAAAUUCUAGACAUAAUAUCAAAUAUUCAUUGAAAUGUUUUUAUACGAAUAACUUAAUUUAAUAAAUUGUAAUGCAAUGAAAUUAAAGUAAUACUUGUGUACCUCUAAUAGAAAAAAAUACAGUGUUGAAAGGAAAAUGAUGCUUUGAGAAUCUUGAAGUUGUAUACAACUCUUGAUGUAAUGAGUUUAAAAAUAAAUAUAUAUAAUAAAUGAUAAAUUUGUAAUUAAAUAAUAUUAAAAUAUUAAAAUAAUAAUAUUAGAUGUUGUAAUGCGGUUGUAUAAAAAAUAUGAGUUGUCAAUAUAUCAUUACCGAUGGUUAUAAAUUGUGACAUAGAAUCUGAAUAUUGGCUAUGGUUCUAGGCAAGUGAGCCAUCAUUAGUACUACAUGAUUCUAUUCACCACAAGAAACACAAUGGCACAUGAUUGUUACCAUUUUGUGACAAUGGUAGCGAUUGUGGUAUUAAGUUUGUGCACAAAAUUCUUGUACUACAGAGCGAACUGCUAAUGGCAUUCUGACUUCAUGUGAUCCAUCUUCCCAGAAGAGGUAGCCAAAUGAGAAUCUGCCUUGAAUUCGUAGCUUCGAAGAAAACGUUACCUUAAAUUUCAUUUUCUUUCGUUUAGGACUAAAUGUCAAGGUUGGUGGCACAACUGUGACAGAUACGCCAAUUGGAGCUUCAACACGAGCAGUGUAGACAGAUUUAAUUGGGCCAACAUUAGUGACUGUUCUUGAAACUGUGAGGGGUUGCUUCAGCUCAGGAAUAAUAAUAGAAGGGAGGUUCAUGUUUAAGAGGUACUUGUGUGAUUUAUGGCAUUUGGUAGGAACUCCUGUCAAAAAGCUUAUGGCAGUGUCGUUGUAGUCCAUAGAACAAAGGAAAUGAAUGUAGUCUGAGUUUUUCAUGUCAUAUACCAGACCAGGAUCUGUCACUUUGUUAGGAUCAACAUGUCCACCUCCGUAGUCAAAUGGGUCAGCUUGUUUAUGAGGUGCUCCCUCAGCCCAAAUAUACUCAUGGUAUUCAUUUUUCAGAGAAGCUUCAGAAAAAGCACAGAAAAUUAGGGCCUUCGACAGUAUGAUAUUGAAGUGUGAGAUGAGACAAUCUAGUGAGAGAGUAAAAAAAAACUAAGGAGUUAUUCUUGAUCUUUUAGGUUUGUUUCAAGUCAUUUGAUUUAUGUAAUUGAUAUCAUUCCUCUCAGACUCUCUUAAUUUAUCUGCUCCUCUCUCACCCUCUGUGUAUGUGUAUAUACAUAUCUGUACAUGGAUGUGUAUAAAGUGAGAGAUGAGAAGCGUAAGAAAAAUGUAUUUUAGCUAUACAUUUAGAAUGAAUGAUUAAAUCUACUUUUUUCAAUAAUAUAGAUUAGUUAUGUAUUGUUUUAUCUUUUAAGCUUAACUAAAUGUGUUUCCUACAUAUAUGAGACUUAAGAAACAUACUAAUAUGCUGUCAAAAAAGAACAUACUAAAAUUGUUUUAUCUCUUAAGAUUUUACAAGAUAGUUUCCUACAUACUUAAGUCAUAAUAACAUUUAAUCCAGAAAAAACCCCGUAAAUAUAAGAUAAAUUCUAUGGUACCCGGCUAAAUUUAAGAAGUUUGCUGAUUUUUGAGUGACAUAGCAACUCUAUAGAUACUUUUAGUGUUAUUCUAAUUAAAAGUCAUGUUUUAAUUUGGUAAGGAUUUUCCAGGUAAAACUUUUAUGACCAGAAAACAGCACUAGAAGCAGUUGAAAAAACUGAUUCUAAAAUGUUCUCUUUAAUUUUAACCAGUUGUGAAAUGAGCAAGAACAUUUUACCUGUUGUGACAAGGGCAGAUUUAAUUGCAGCAGGGCUCCAAGUUGGAUGGACAGUUUUUAUAAGUGCAACAAUACCAGAAAUGUGAGGGCAUGACAUGGAAGUUCCUGACUCAAUGUUGAAGGUAAGGGGCUGCAACUUUUCUGAUUUUGCAUCAGAUACCAAACGCUCAGAAGAAGCAGGUGACCAGGCCGCAAGAAUAUUAACCCCAGGAGCAGCAAUGUCAGGCUGCACCACAUUCAACAUAAAUGUAAAGCUUUGCCUUUUGUUAAGAUAAAAAAUAGCUAUUUAUGACAUUCAGGAGGAAUGAUCAGAACCUUCAAUACUGAAGGAGACAAAGAACUUGGUCCUCGCGAAGAGAAGAAUGCCACUUCCGGUGAUAUCUGUUGGCCAACAACUGUUUUUGUUUUGCCAAACUUUAUUACAGGAUCUCUACAAUAUACAUGCAUUCAUUACAAGGUAUUCGUACGUAAUUAAUUUGCUAUUAGUAUGCAAAAACAUAAAGAAACCCAACAUGGAAUGUCACCUUGCAACUACUAUUACUUGCAUUUAGUACCAUAGUGUCAGUGUUAUUUUCUCGUUAGAUCUGGAGUUUCAUCUGGGUAUAUACACUAUGAUUUAGUAAAGUUAUUUACUGAGUAAAUUAUUGAAGUAAAAUUCCAAAUGUGAUAGGAGCAUAAUACCAUGGAAAAACCAUGUUGUUAUCAUGUAAUAAUAAGACUUUUCAGUAAUCAAUAAUAUUAUGCUUUCUCAAACCAAAUACUCUUGUUGCAUUUUCUUUUUAAUUCUGAGAGAUAGAUGAAACUAGCUAGCUGCAUUUUCUACCAUGAAAGAUAUAUGUGCAGGUUACCGACCCAAUAGACUCAACAACCAUGACUCUGAUACUACAUAAAAAUUCGAGUGAAAAUCUAAUUCAAAUUUCUAAAAGCUAGUUCAUAAAGUGAGAGUUAUUCUCCCUUUACUGUAUACACUGUUCUAGGCGAAUCACUAGAUGUUGUCAUGUUGCACUUACAGAGUACUCACCUAGUUGCUUCUAUGUAUGAUAGAAUAGUUGUUCCCGUGAUAAAAUCAACUUGGACACAGGGUUUACUCCAUGAUGUAUCAACAUCUUUUGUAGGAAACUGAGCAAAUAUGAGACCAGAGCCCCCAGCUUCCGUAACUGUUCUUAUAGCUACUGUGGCCGACCUCUGUGACCGAGACUGGAAACACAGAAUUGCUUUACCUUUUGCUAAGGUGGCAUUCAGACUCCCUGAAUUGCAGCCCCUGAACAAAAAACAACAGAUAUGCACUACUUUCAGUCACAGUCACGACAGUUUCACGCAGAUAUCGAGCAAAUACGAACAAGGAAAUUUACCUUGCGCUUUCUUCAUCAGCAUCCGAAGCUGCUAUGUCUUCUCCAAAAACUAUUGGAUAAAACUUGCUCAAGUCUUUUCCUGUAUAUAAACUCUGACCCUAUAUGAGGAAAUAAAAUAUAGUACUGUGUCUGCACUGCUAACGGUUAAUCUAGCAAGGAUGCAAAUUAUUAACAUACAUUUUGUGUCUAUUUGCUCAGUUUAAGGUUUAGAUUUGCAUCUAUAAAAUACCCCUUUUGGGCUUUACAAAUUCACUUUUAAUUGCAAUUAUUUUGGCCAGUGUUUUGAAUCUACCUACAAAUUAAAUCACCUGAGAAUGAUAUUCAGGUUUAAUCUAAGAGUAGAUGCUUGUUCAAAAGAGCAUUCUUCAGUCUAACAAACUUUACUUGCAGAAUCUUAAUAAGGUAACAAACCUACACUUUAAUUUCUUAAUUAUACUUAAGUUAAAGUAUAGUGGAGGAAAGGAAUUAAGCCAAUGAUAUUUUAAAAUAUUUUACAAAGUCGGAGACUAAAAUGAAAUUUCUAUAAACUCCAUCACUAAAGUGAGUCAAGUAACUAAGGCUUACAAACUUAUUAGGACCAAAAAUGGAGGCUUAGUUGAACAAAGGACCUGCAGACAUAUGGAAAUGGAUGUAUAAUGUAUUGUUGCUUCAUACUUGACAUGCCAAUCUUAUAUUCGUAAGGAGAUGAAGAUUCAUUACUGUUAUCUGAAAUCCUAAGCUAGGCUCAUCUCAAUCAAUAAAUAACUUCCUGGGCCUCGUUGGAAUAAAAAAAAUAAUCGCUUUUCAUUUAUUAAAUGUUUGAAGAAUUUUGUGGUGAAACAUCACAACAAGAAAGAUGAAGUACCUGUAGAGUUUGAUUGUUUCCGAGGAUAAUCCUUGAUGGAAAUUCUCUGUCUAUGGUACUAGCAGCAACGGUAAUAACCCAAGGUGCAGUGUUUAUGACAGUUUGGGAAUAUGGACCAGAAUUGCCACCAGAACAUACCACAGAAAUUCCUUUAGCAACAGCAUGAAAAGAACCAAUGGCCAGUGCAUCCUCAACAUAAGUAGGAAGUGGAGGAUCUGAGCCAAGAGAUGCUGAAAGAAUGUCUACCCCAUCAAAUAUUGCAUCAUCAAAAGCUGCAAGAAUAUCUGCUGAGCUGCAUCCCCCAGUAGACCAACAAAUUUUGUAGACAGCCAACCAAGCUGAUGGAGCACCACCUCUUGCCAACCCUUUAGCUAGUCCCAUAAAGCUUGCAUUUUCCACUGCAACACCAGCUGCAGUAGAUGAUGUGUGAGUGCCAUGGCCUGAUGCAUCUCGAGGAGACAAGUACUCCACCCCAUCACUUGUAUUUAGUUUACCAAUUUCAGCUUCAUAUCCUUUAAUAUACCAACGUGCACCAAUAAUUUUCCUGCCAUCAUAUGAAAGGAUACCAUUUAAGGUUACAUUUUCCCCCAGAGUGUUCAAAGUAGAAAACAUAAAUGUAAAUUUACUGGACCUCUCAAUUUUAGAGACAAAACAUAAUUAGUUGCUAUAUUGAUUAAAGUAGAGACCAUUUUAGAGACUAAAAAAAUUUUUGAUUUCUAAAUUGGUUUCUAUUAUUGUUAAAUAGUUUAUAAAUUGGUAUCUAAUUAGCUACCAAUGUUUUAACUACCAAUUAUUUAGAUUCUAAAUUUAGUAGCAAAAACUUUAAUAGCUAAUUAAAUAUCAAUUUAGAAACUAUUUAACACUAAUAGAAACUAAUUUAGAAAUCAAAAAAAUUUUAAUCUCUAAAAUGAUCUCUAAUUUAAUCCUAACAACUAAUUAUUUUUUGUCUCUAAAAUUAAUUUCUAUUUAAUGAGUUUCUUGUAGUGUCUUAACAAUUCCUUAACAAAUUAAAGACAUCCUACUAUCAGCCACAACAAAAACACAUUAGUGAAUUAGGAAGUGUUGAGUUUUGGAGCUCAUCGAGUGCCUAAGUUCAAUAGUGGUUGUAACUUGGAACAUUUAAAAAGGAAAUUGAAUGGCUAGAAAUAAAUUCUGAAUGAACCUAUUGCAAGUGGAGCGGUUGAAAUUUUCUCCUCCUUGGCAUACACCACGCCAGUGAAGAGGAGGAUUGCCCAUGUGUUCAUCUCUAAAGCUCUCAGACUCUGGCCAAAUACCUGAAGAGUAAAGAGCCAAUUAUAUAAUCACAAUCUCAUUUUAUGAUGUUAACAUGCACAGCGUGAAGCAAUUCCAUACUAACCAGUGUCCAUGAUGCCGAUGAUGGUGCCUCUUCCAGAUUGACCCCUAGAAAGAGCACUGGUUAUCAUUUCUUGCUUUACGUUCAAGAAGUCCCAACUUCUUGUUGUGUGAAGACUGAGAAUUUUAUUUGGAAUUACACGGACAACCCCUGGGAAAUCUGCAUGUAAAUAAUACAGAAAAGGAGUGAAAAUUAUUAAUUUAUUAGUACUUAUUUGGGAGAGCUUUGAUUGAGAUAUGAUAGAGUUCUCAUUCUAGGAAAACAGAACAUUUAAAUACUCCACCAAACAUCUCAUACUAUUUCCACAAGAGUUGAACAUCCCAUAAUACCCAAAUUUCUACUGCAAUCACUCAUCAUCAUAUGCAAGUGCAAUCAAUUUGACUCAGAGCCACAACUUCUGUAUAUUACUUCCCAACGUAUAUUAUUUUACAACCAUCAUUUUGACAUUAUGCUAACUAGAGAGAUUGUAGUUUUUGUAUCUGUCAGAAUUAUUUCAUAAUUUGAAAUCAGCUAUCUUUCUGCAUGAUUUCCUUAAUUUCACUAGGAUCUAAAAAAAUCGUGCAUGAUGGAUCAUGGAAUAGUCCGUGACUGUUGCUAGCUUAGGUUGGUACUGUGUGUCACGAAUCUGGGGACCACUUUCACUUUUUAUUGAGGAAGUACAAAGGUUCACAUUUCUUCUAAUAAAGUCUUUUUUAAAGGAUAAUAAUGGUCAAACAAUAUCAAUCUUCAAAAUGUUCACCUUCAUUUUGAUCCUAUUUAUUCAUUUGCACAGAAAGUAUUUUGCAAUGCUUUCACAUAUCCCCUACUGUGGAUAUAGACUCAGCUUGAAAUUACCUGCAAUGAGCCUAGCUUGGGGCUGACUUAAAACUGCAGCGAAUCCAGAAAAGCCAUGCUUAUAGCUAUACAGAAUGGACUUCCUAGCAGCGUCUUUGCUGUUAAAAUAAAAAGGAAGAUAUCAGAUUCUGAAUUUUAGUUUUUAAAGGAAGUUUCAUAACAAUAUGCAAAGUAGGUUUCUCAUGUUGAAAAUUUCAAACAUGUUAUGUGCAUCAAAAUAGGCAGGGUAGAUAACCUCAUGGUUUCCCUCACACACCACAUUUCCAAACUCAAAUUGAAACUUCAGAGGAACAGAAACAAUUUCACAGAAAAACAACAGCAAUGAAUUAAAGGGCAAUUAACCUUCCGAGAAUUCUUGAUAGUAUGUCAAGGUGGGAGUCUUCAACCAACUGUUGCUCACUCUGCUUUAUUCUGUUGUUGCCCAUAUACACAAUAUGGACCUGCAAAAACCAGAAAGAGAAUCAAAUAAGUAGGAUGCAACUAAGGGAAAAUAAAAAUGUGGUUGGUAGAAAAAAGAAGAAGCAUAGUUUACAUACAUUGCUUGAGGCAAAGGUGACAAGGACACAAGCUUGUUGUUGCAGAACAAGAAUUACAAAAGUAAUGACUAAGUUCCAAGCAAGAGCCAUGAUGGAGUGAAAGCAAGAAUGAGAUUAUGAAAACAGCACUGUUUGAGUGAUGGUUUGGCUUAGUAGAUUUUGGAUAGUAUAUGUAACAGUGUACAUAGAUGUCAAAGAAACACACCCACUAAGUACCUGCUCCACCACCACUGCCAGCAUUUACUCUAUGGUGGGCUCAGUCUCAGCUUUUGGCUCCAUCAUUGAUCUUGGAAUCUUUGUACCUAUUAAGGGAUAAAGUGAGAUAGAAACGGGGAUUGAGGACCAUGAAAAUGAUCUUUCUUCUAGAUUGCCACUUUCUCUUUCCAACCAUGUCCUGUUGCAUUGACUAAUAUCGGAAUAAUUGAUGGUGAUGUCAACUCCUUCUAUUAUUUAUUGUUUAUAAUAUGCAUAAUGUGAUUCCAACCAGGGAACAGAACACUUUUCUGGCUCAGAAAGAACAGGUAUCAGUCUCAAUAUUUGAAAGGAAUUUUACUUUAUUCUUGGAUAAAAAAUUCACAACCACAAAGACUCUGCAUAUAUAUUAAUCCUAGAGGUUAUUUCCAUCCAAAAAUCUUAAAAUUUUGUCAAAAAAAUAAGUUAUUAACAGAAAUUUUAUGAUUUAUUAAUGAUUGAUAGUGUCUUCAAAGUUGAUGGUAUUCAUAGUAACUACUGCAACAGUUUAUGACUACUUGUCAUCUUUCAGGAGCUGGAAAAGUUUAGGUUAUAGUUAUUGGAAGGAAGUAACCUUCUCAUUCAAAGGAAAAUGUUCUCAGAGCAAUGACAUUAGAGUAGAGAUUUCAAAUUUCAAAGGUAAACUCAAACCAUGUGCACUAACUUGAAGUGAAUCAGAAUAUAAAGUUUAACUCAACUUUAUAAAAUCAAUUUCAAUUUUAUAAAAUUUUACACUUACUUAUAUAAUAUAAAAUAUUUAUUUUAAAUUAAUUUAAAAUUACUUAUAUAAUAUAAAAUAUUUAUUUUAAAUUAAUUUAAAAUAAGAUGAUGUUACACUUAUUUAUAUAUUAUAAAAGGUUUAUUUUUAAUUAAUUUAAAAUGUAAAAAAAAAAUAUAAAUAAAAUAAAAUAAAGAAAACUUAGAGAAAAUGAGACAUGAGGUAACUUUUCAUUUAAAAUUAUUAUUAUUAUUUAUACUUAUAUACAAAGGAAUUCACCUUUUUAACUUCUGUAAACAAAAUAUAUUUAUAUUAAUAUUUAAUUUUAUGAGGAAUAUUACAUUAUUUUUUAUUUUACUUUUAACAUAUUAAAACAGUUAUGGGAAACAGUUUUAAACAUAGAGAAAAAAAAAUUAAUUUAAUUUUCUAAAAUAUUUCUUCAUUUUUUUCAAUUUUUAUGAAAAGUUGCUGAUUUCAAAUUUGAAUUUUUGAAUUUUUUUACCUUUUUUUUCUCUUUUUGCUUUUUCUCAUUUUUUUCUCUCUUCUUUCUCAAAUUUCUCGUACUCUCUUUCUUUCAUACAUACUAAUAAUAAAAAAAGUGGAUGUCCGGGUAGUUUAGAUAAAAUUAAUAAACUCUGGUAGGAAAACAAAUAAAUUUAAUUUCUUCAUAAAUGAAAUUUGAUCUUGCGGUGCUUUAGAAAAGUGAUAAUUUAAUGGUAACUGUUUCUAUUUAAAAAAAUAAAUAAAUAAAUAAAAUGGUUUUUCGAAGAGACAAGUUUGUGGAGGAAGGAUCCAAAAGCUCGGCGAACGGAUAUAGUUUGGAAGUUGUUGGUAGCAGAAGCAGUGCUAUGAGAAAGAAUCAGUGAAACUAUUAUCGUGGCUAGAUUCAAUUUCUUCGUUCCUCUGAACGAAAUUGAAUUCAAUGGAUGCUAUCAGAAAGCAAGCCUCCAAGCUUCGAGAACAGGUCGCUCGCCAGCAACAGGUUCGUUACUGCAGAUCCUUCGCUUUCUCCUUUAUUUCUCUGAAAUUUGUUAGAGUUUCUCAAGGUUUUCUUUAUCAUUUCCUAUUUUCCGAUGCAAUUCUCGUUUAGCUCCCGCUGCGCGGUUAUAGCCUUGUAGUUGUUGCUCUCGUCAAACAUGAUGCCGUCGAGUAUUGGAUCUAAUCGAAUUUCGCACUUGCAUUGUGAAAAUCAAUUAAUGAAACGGUAGAUUCGAGAUGAAUUUUAAAUCGGUAGCUUAUCUUGCUAAGGCGUUGAGAUCGGUAGCUGAAUUCGAAAUCACCGCGUGUGUAUGAGUUUCCGUGCCUUUAAUUGUGAGGAUUAUGCUUAAAUUAGUAUCUGAUUAAUAUCAGUGUCUGAAUUCAAAGUCACCGAGCCACGUGCAUGCCUGUGUUUCAUUUCAUCAAUGAACAUAACAUAGAUGCAAUUUAGUAGCAGAUCAGAAUUGGAGUUUUACAUGGAUAAUCUGCGUAAUAAAUAAAGGUUUUCAUUGAAAACCAACAUUGGUUACCGAUAUCAAACUUCAGUUAAAAUUGGAGAACAACAGCACGUCUACCUUUGAAAGUGCAUGUAGGUUUUGUCCUUCGUUAGUUGUGACGAUUAAGUUUUUUUUUUCUUCUUUUUGUCUCGAAUGUUCCUUUGGCUUGAUUUGUUUCUUUCUCAAUCAGCGAGGUGCUAACUAAAAUUCAGAACUGUUGCUAUUCAGGCUGUUCUGAAGCAAUUUGGGGGUGGUGGUUAUGGAGGUUCAGAUAAUGUGGCUACCAAUGGAAUGGAACUCCAGCUGCACCAGAAACUUGAGAAACUUUAUAUAUCGACGCGUGCAGGGAAGGUUGCUUGGUUCUUCGAUUUCAAUUAUUUUCUAUUCGUGUAUAGUUCAUGUCAAUUUAUCUCUUCUUCUCUAGGCUGAUAAUAGCUCUCCUAUUGUGUUUUCAGCAUUAUCAAAGGGAUAUUGUUCGUGGUGUAGAAGGUUAUAUUGUUACUGGGUCUAAGCAAGUGGAAAUAGGCAAGUAAUAUUGGUUUGGGAAGCUUUUGUAAAAAUUUGUUGCUGUUACUUUGCAGGAAAUAUUGUUAUUGAAUUCCUAUGUAUCGCAUGUAAACAGGAACAAAGUUGUCAGAAGAUAGCAGGAAAUAUGGUGCAGAAAAUACAUGUACCAGUGGUAAUACACUGAGUAGAGCUGCACUAAGUUUUGCACAAGCACGUGCUCAAACGGAGAAGGAGCGUGGAAAUUUACUAAAAGCUCUUGGUACACAGGUACUGUAUAUGUAUUGAUGCUUUCUGUUGUGUAUAUGUUGAUGUAUGAGCUCAUUGAGCAGUACUUGCAACGCAAGGUUUAUAAGGCUCAAACCUGACUUCACAGAAAUAAUGAUUGGGUUUCCACUAACUGAACUGGUUUACAGAAUAUGAUUGAGAUUUACAGAUAUUUAGCUCUAUUUUAAUCUAAUGCAAAAAGAACAUGCAGGCUAUUAUGUCCAAAUCCAUUAUGAAUAGAAUUUAAUAGUCUCACUCAUAUACCGAGUUCAUGAAUCUUGCUUUAUCUAUAGCGGUGUCUCAUAUUGUUGACCAGGUUGCAGAGCCCCUAAGGGCAAUGGUGGUGGGAGCUCCAUUGGAGGAUGCACGCCAUCUUGCUCAACGUUACGACAGAAUACGACAAGAAGCUGAAGCCCAGGUAUUCUAAAAUUUAUCUUUCAUUUUUUUUAAUCAGCAAUAUUAUCUUUCACUUAACUUUUCAAAACUUGUUGGACUUCCACUUUCAUUUGUCAGCCUGUUUUUUGUUGUCUCCCGUGUUUCAUUACAUGUUUCGAUAAGGAUUUUAUUUUGCUAUUUGACGUGUAAUUACUGUCUUUUUAACCUAGACAGGCUAUUGAAGUUUCUAAACGCCAGGCAAAAGUAAGAGAAAUGCCACCCAGUGCUGAGAAUUCUAUGAAAUUAGAAGCAGCUGAAGGGAAGCUGCAAGAUCUGAAGACAAACAUGACCACACUGGGGAAGGAAGCAGCUGCAGCAUUGGCUGCUGUUGAAGCACAGCAACAGAGGUUAACUCUUCAGCGUCUUAUAGCUAUGGUAUUGCAGUGUGCCCUUACGAUUCCGCAAUGCUUCGAUUUAAUGAAAAACGCUGGAUCAGAGUCAUAACUUCUCAUUGAUCCCACAUCUUAUUUCUUCUUAUGAAGGUUGAAGCAGAGCGUGCCUAUCAUCAAAUAAUCCUACAAAUACUUGAUCAGCUUGAGGGGGAGGUAAGCAUUCAUAUCACUUGCUCAUUUGACCAUUUAUUCCGCAUACAGACGCUAAAUAUUCCUUUUGACGGACAGAUAAUUUUAUUUCGAUAUCAACUUGAUUUCGUGCUGUAUGUUUAUUGAUGAUAGAUGAUAUCAGAACAACGACGAAUUGAAACCCCUCCUAUUCCCAGUCUGGAUAACAGCAUGCCACCACCUCCGUCAUAUGAAGAAGUGAAUGGUGUCUAUGCAUCUCAAGCACAUAAUGGAACAACAGAUAGCAUGGGUUACUUCUUAGGAGAGGUUAGUACGAGACUGCUUCUACUCUCUUGUACACAGGGAAACACCUACAAAUAUUAAAUUUUGAGAAAGGUGACAACUGUUUUCUUUUUUAAUUUUACUCUUCUUGCAGGUUUUAUUUCCAUAUUCUGCUGUAUCCGAAGUGGAGCUAAAUCUAUCGGUUGGUGAUUACAUUGUUGUUCGAAAGGUUCGUUGAACCAAAAACAUGACUUAUCUCGCACAACCCCCUCGCGCUCCCCUCUGGUUUUGGAGGGUGCUCGUGCUUCUCUUGAAUUACAUUAUUUCUGCCAUCAUUUCACCCAUGCUAACGGAUUAAUAUAAUUUUCGAAACAGAUUCGGGUAAUAACCAAGUAGAGUGCAUUUAUACUAUUCUCAUGCAAUACUGAACCCAUCAAAACAGAACUAAAGCAGUAUUGAUAACCUGAUAUGAACUCUGAACAUGAUCGAUUAUGUCAUUGCCCAUUCAUCUCUGAAUGAUUGUUUGGUCAUCUAUUUAUGAUGUUGCUUGUGUGUCCCAAAUCAAGCUGUUGUGCUUCACGUGCUGAUGACUAACACAAAAUCCUUGUUUUUCAAGUUGGCCUGAUUUUCCUUUGGUUAAUGAUUAUGGUGGCUGUGGUUUUAACAGGUGACAAACAGCGGAUGGGCCGAGGGCGAAUGCAAAGGCAAGGCAGGUUGGUUUCCGUUUAGUUACAUUGAAAGGAGGGAACGUGUUCUUGCAAGUAAGGUGGCUGAAGUGUUUUAAGCUUUUCCUGUUGAGUUGGUUUCUUAACCUGCGAAUUUUGUAUGUAUGUUUUGAUAUGUAAAACAAAUUGAUUUGGGAUAUAGGUGGAAACUUUUCCCAUGUGAUUAUCAUGUAGAAUUUAUAAAUGAAUAUUUUGUUAUCCACUUUUAUUUUAUUGCACUCAACUUGUUUCCUUUAUACAAGUGCUUAUGCGACUUCUAAGAACUAAUUAUUUGGGUGAUCUCAUUUGUCAUUUUGAUUAUGCAUCAAACUAAUUUUAGUUAGAAGUGACGUUUUCUUUUUAUUAUAAAUUUUUAUUCAUUAAAUGUCAACCAAUUUUGGAUUUAUAAUAUCUUCAGCAUAAACUCAAAUAUGUGAAUAUUUAUCUAAAAUCAUGUUCAUUGGUAUUUUAAAUUGAUUUUGAAGGAUUUAAUGUUAAUCCGUGUUUUUGGACUCAUUGACGUAUCGAUGAACAUGUUAAAAUAUAAACUAACUGAAAUAUAAAUGAACUGAAAUUAUAUCUAACUAAUGAAAUUAUUCAAGAUUUUAAUAUAUCGGUCAUAAUUUCAAAGAAAAAAAAUUAUGUUCAAAAUCAAAUUUUAAUAAAACUAUUUCUUUAUGUUCACACUUCAACACCUGUGCACAAAAUUUUGGUAUAAUCAUACUUUUGAGGAUCUAACGAAGUUUUUCUAUAAUACAAUUUAAUAUCGUUGCACUAAAAAAUUGAAAUUGAGAUCAUUAAUUAAAUAAAAAAUUAUUUUGUAGAAAUUGACUUACACUGUGGAUGAUAUUAAAUAACAAUCUAUUUAAAGGAACGUUUCCAUCAAUUUAAUUAAGAGAAAAAUAGUUUUCACUUAAAUUUAUUGCCAUCCUUAUUACAAUUAAUGUCAAGGAUUUUAGUUCACAAUGUUUGCUAAGUUGCAUAUCUCCUACCUGAUUGCAGCAUGAAUAAAAUUUUCUAUACUUGAUACAUUUUUUGUGUCACUUCCUCUCAUUCCUUCUGAAUGAAGUUUUCCCCAAUAUAAAAAAUACAUUACUAUUCUGAAAGAAUGAGAGGUGACUAAAAAAUUUACGAAAUGCAAAAGUAUUAUUUGUAUUGUUGCAUCAGAUUUCUUUUGUAGCACUCUCAUAGUUUAUGCAGUUGGCAUUUCUGACAUAUAUUAACAACAAAAAAUGAAUCAAUACACAAAUUAAAUAAUCAAAUUAAACUAGUCUUAAAAUUAAAGGAUGAAAAAUAUUUGUUUUAUCUGAAUUAAAUAUUUGUAUAUUCAUACCCUUCUUGUUACUUGUUUUUCAACAAUUAUCUAAUUCAUAAUAUUUUUAUAAUUGUUUCAAAUUUAUAUACACAUCUUAUGUUAGUUUCAUUCAUAUUUAAUUUAGAUAAAUAUAGUUUUGAUUCCUUAAUAUUUUGAAAUAUUUGUUUCAGUGAAUUGAAAAUGAAGUGUACCCAAAGCAAAAUGAAAACUUCCCCUUGUGCAAGUUCGUUAACUCUCUGUUCCUAAACAGUUUGCUACACGACUGUUUAACAACUCUAAAUAAUAAAGAAUUAAAAUAUAAAUUAAAUUAUUGAAUAAAAAUUAGUAAAACGGGUUAUAAAAUAGUGGUAUAAAUUUCAACACACUCUUAUCUAAUGAAUAUUAGACAAGUAGAAAAAUGUGUUUUAUAAUAAAAAAAUUGUUUUUAUUUAAUUUAUUCACAAAAGUGUGAACUUACAAAAAUAUAGUUUUUAUUAUUUUAAGUAGGUUUAAACAAUUUUAAAAUGAUAAAAUAAGGGCUGAAAGGAUCUGUAACCAUGUUUUCUAGGGCUUCACAGUUUUACAAGUACUCAACAACGAGGAAAACGUUUCAAGUACAUUGCAAAACCAUUAAGUGACUUGUUAUAAUAAUAUAUAAUAUAUUAAAUCGAGUCACGAUUUACCAUUUAUGAAUAGAAGAAGCGGGAAAUUUUCAAUUCUUCUCACUCACGUUUGGAAAGACAAAUCUAAAUAGAAUGAAAAAAGGAGUGGACAAUUUUAUAAAUAAGGAUAAUUGUUCUUACAAUUUUCACCGUACAUUAAAAUUAACAAUAGAACUUAACUUACACUAGUUAUUAUGGUGGUUAGCAGACAGAUAGGCAAAAAUGAUGGAAACCAUGAUGACCAGCAUGACAAUCUGCAGGGAUGGUUUACGUCAGUAUAUUCUAAGAAAUGCAGAAUCCAGUUUAAAAAAGCAAAAGCCAAAACGUACCAUAAAUGAGCCAUAUCCAUUUUCAUUCUUCACAAUGAAUGAUUUCCUGCUUAAAAGAAACCAAGGGUUUGUUUGUUAGACUAUGAAUGGUAAAAAAAGACACUUUUGAAGCAAAUCGGUCAUGUACCUUUUACUCAAGAGACCAGAUUCUCUGCAACUUUUCUGUAUAGCUACCAGCCUGCUCAAUGUUUUUGUGGCAUUGGGAUCAUUUUUGUCAACCUACAAUGGAAAAUAUAGAAGCUUUUUAUUUGGAAAAGGACGGCUUUAAGAACUGCUGCUUAUAGGGGGGAAAACGGCAAGAUCGGCAAUUUUGAACUUUGGCUACUAUAAAAUGUCUUUUACAUUAGGUCAAUGGAAUGGUAGGAUCAAGGGUUAUUUGCUAUUUUCUUGGGAAAAAAACACCCAACCAGGAAAUUUUUUUGAAGUGUGUGCAUCAAGUUAUUGAUGAACCAAAAGUGUGAUCCUUUUAACAGAUUGUUCAGGGUAGAACAAACAAAACAAUAUAGUGACUCUGCAAUCCAAUGAAGACUUGUAAGACUGUAACUUGCUUUAUUGUUCAGUCAACGACUUCAAAUAUUUAUUGUAGCAAUUGCUACCGUAUUGUGGCAAAAACUAUGGUUUUAGUAAAAGUCAUAGUCAUUUUCCCGUUGUAAAUAUUAUGUGUUUAUUGUAUAAACAUUCAGUAGGAAGUAGGAAUAUUAUCCAAUCUUAAAUGCAACAUGAGUAGCGUUCACAUUCUUCUGUUGCAAACCUAAUACGGUGUUAAUGACAACAGAUUCAUACCUUGGACUCCAACACAGAAGCAAAAUCAAAGAAAGCGCCAUAGACAUCAGCCAUAGUCUUUGUUCGGUCAAUCACCUUGGCAGUUAAACCUAUAAAUUGGAAACAAAAAUGAAUAAAUAACAUCUAGUUUGAUAUUACACACCCACAAACAGUAACAGCGUAUAACAAGCACAAAACCAAUAGUUACAUGUUGAUCCUUUUUUAUUCCCAGAAGAAAAAACAAUAGUUUGAAAAUGAAAUGGGAAGAAAGGAACCCAUACAAAUGCCACAGCUAACGUACAUACAUCUAGGUUAUGGUAUUAUCACUUCACUUCAAAAUUAUAAGGAUAUCCAUCAUAGAAUUGUAGCUCCUGGCCUCUAAACUAAAAAAGUAUAUGCUAUUUAGCAUUAGCUACUUUGUCCAAGUUCAAACUGUCUUUCCAAUUCUUAACCAACAUCCAUAAGGGAGGAUGCAAGUAUUUAUUUAGAUGUGAUAUUUAAACAUCCAAGCUACAAAUACAGAAUCUAACAGGAUAUGGACAUCACGCAGCCCAAGAGUAGUUAUCUUUCAGACAAAUGCAUAUGCAGGUUCCAUAACAAACAGAUUCCAAGGCAAUUUUAUGGGGAUUGAUUCAGCAUGAAAUAACGUGAAAUCCAAAUUGAAGCAAUUAAAUAUUCCUACGACUUCAAAAACAUAUGUCCUGUCUUAUAUACCAAUUGUGGCUUUACGUUUAGCAUGCCUCAAAAUUACAUUACAAGGACUUCAGUAUCAAAAUAGUUGUUCUGACCUCUCCUCAUUUUAACUACACCUCUGAAGACCUCAAUGUUGUUGUAACAUAACGCUAGUGUUCCAAUUGCCAUUAUCUGUCACAGUGCAGCUAUGUCAAAUAAACAUCAAAAUUACUGGGGAAAGAUUAUCAAAAUAACUAUUGCUAGAUACAUUAAUCAUUAAACAUAAAAUGAAUAUGAACGAAACUAACACCCCUUUGACCCCAAAAAAAGUUAAUAGUGCUUAAAGAAAAAUAGGUUCCACAUAGCAUCAGGGUAAUCCACCCAAGCAGCUUCUUCCUCUAGAACAUAUGCAGCUCAAAAGAAAAAAUUUCUUAUUCCACAUAGUAUUAACUAAAACCAGCAAGGCUAUAUAGCUAAACCCUCAGACCAUCAUGAUCUAUUAAAAUAACUCAACCACAGGAAGACGAUCUGUACUCUAACAAUUAUUGUACAUGAAGUUUUGAUUAAAAGAUAUUCUGUUUCAUGGCUUACCACUCUGUAUCGGUAAAACAUUUAACUAAAAAAUGUAUAAUAGAUUGUUAUUAACACAUCUUUUGGGAAGUCUUUAAACUAAAUCUUAGAAGAAACUGAAAUAAUAUAUUCAUUUUACUUUUUCAUAUUUUAUUGAACUGAAUAGGGAGGAAGCUGAAAUUAUUAAACUCUUCUGAAACAUAACAUGGUAUGCAAACAAUAUAAAACAUGCAGAUAAAUUACGGUAUAUCAUUGCAACAAAGAGUGACAUGAACUAAAUAACAGUUCCAUCAGAAGUAACUAAGUAAAAGAACAGCACCUGGGGUAUAGCACAAAAGCGAAAUAUAGACGAGUCUCUUAAAGCAGCCAUGUAUAUUAAGGAAUCUUCAGCAUGCAUCAGAGCAUUAGUGACCAUGUCAUUUAAGCAUUGUACUGCUUUAACAGAGUUCUCCUCAUAUUUCAAAUCCUGGAUUAUAACAAUUAAAUUGAAGUGACAAAUAAGAAACCCAUACAUCAGCACACCUGGACAUCGAGCGAAAGUCAAAAAGGCAUUUCAUGUGUACGUUAAAAGUGUGACUGGAAAUUUGAUUUCACCAUCACACCGUGUGAGAUUAAUGAAAUGGGGGAGAAAGAGCAGAAAGGAUUUGUGUAAGACUUUGUGCCCCUUCAAUUUAGUGUUUGAUGGAAUUGAUUUUAAACUGUCAACUAUAAUUGACGUGCGUGCUUAAAUUAAUCUGAACCACAUACUUGUCAUGGGACAUGUGCUUUUUCAUUGGAGAAUGCGAGAACUGAUUUUCUAGCUUUUGAAAUUAAUUAAGCUAGAUGUAAAUUCCUGUAGUGUAGAGCCAAACCUCGAGUUUGUUAACAUAUUUACUCCAAAUCUCUCGUGGCCAGAACAUGCGUGACUUGGGGAUUUCAUUGAUGUCUUCCAGAUAAUCUCGAAUGAUGUUUGUUUUCUGCAAUCUCAAGAGGUAGCAUAAAAUGUAAGCAAGCAAUUGCAACCGUACUGCAGUUUUCAUAUCUUACAACCAUGAUACCUGAAGAAACAAGCCCAUUGAAUUGGAAAGGGAAUCAGAAGCCAGAUCUUCUGAACCAGAGGCAUGGAAGAGCUUUGAUAAACCCAGCCCAACAAGUCCAGCCACGUAGUGACAAUAUUCAUCAUAGUCAUCAAUUGUUUCAACCUGCAGAUGGAAGAAAAAGGUCUCUUGGCAUAAAUCAAGAUGAUCUUUCUAUGUUGAAAACAUGGCAGAAAUCCCUUUGCAGCAUAGUGUUCAGUACAUAAGAACUUAUAAUAGAUGCAUUAACAAUAAUAGUAGUAUAACAUCAAAAUUAAAAAAUUGUUGUGUUUAAAUAAAAAUAAAAGAUAUCUGUUUUCAAAUCAUUAUAUUGACCAUCUCUCUAAAUUGCCAUCUACCAAACAAGAUAAUUUAAAAGACCAAAAAUCAUUAAAAACCAGAAACUAGCAGGACAUUUAAAGGAAUAACAAACAUCAUAUAAUGUCUUGUCAAUCACAGAGGUUCACAAUAUUAAUUGUAAGAUAAUAAACAUAAUAUUUGCAGAACAGAAGCCUUGUGAGACAAACCUCCUUGCAAAUAAAUUUGGCCAUGCCAGCACCCAUUCUUUUUGUAAUGUCCUCAAUUGCUUCCUGAUAGCUGCAAAAAUCAUUGACUAACAUUUAACUUGUUUGUCAUAGAAUAUACAGCAAUAAUUUAAUUACAUAAAUAACUGAGAAAAGCUAAAUAAAAAGGAAGUGAAUCAAUAGUCCAUAUACACAUCUCCGUUGGUCGUGAAAUCUCUUCAAUUUGAACAAUAUGAAUGCACCAACACAAAUUAUAGAAUGAGAUCCCCAGUUUAGGCCUUAAAUAUUUUUUGUGUAAAAACCUACCAGAGACCAAGUGGAAUAUAACUAGCAAUGGACAGGAACCCCGAAAUUUUUGUAACUGGUGAAAAAAAUACAAAAUACAGAAACCUCUGUGUUAUAAUGUGGAAAUAAUUGAUAAUUCUUAUUAAUCACAGAUACAAAACACCAUGUUUAUUCAUCAGUAUGUAAUCGACAUUAUAAUAAGUAAUUCCAACCCAAAUUUUAAUAUUCCAGAAAGGGAUACAAAUGAAUCCACAAAUGUUAUUCACAAAGAUAUUCUAUUGGUAGCACAGCAUGCAUUAAUGAUAAACAGUACACACCCCCACUUCCCCAAGUGUAAUAACAAUGAUAGCAUAAAAUUGGAACCAAGAUUCAAAGGGCUGCUGCUGAUUGGAAAGGAAAAAUCAUAUGCUGUGGAAUUUAAAGUUCAAUUUAGGUAAACGAGCACAGAUAAAAACUGACUUCUUUCCAAGUUCCAGAAAAGCAGUUGAAACAUGAUGAAUCUGGUCCAUUAGAACUUUGUACUCCUUUGUGCCACCUAGUUACAUUAAAAACAAUUAGUGUUCGAAUCAGCAUGAAUAAAUUUGGAGGCUCAUAUACUAUAAACUCAUUCUUCUCGUGAUCAAUAAAGGUUGUCUUUAAUAACAAUAUAAGUAAUUCCUGUAUGUAGUUUAAAAUCCCAUUCAAUUUCUGAAAAAAUAAGUUAGAUGUGGUUAAAUUGAAUAUUUAUGACUAAAAAAACCACAGAUUGGGAAAAGAAUGUUCAAAUUGUAUUGAAUCUUAACUUAGCAUAAAAAUAUUAAAUAAAGAGCACAAAGACGACACACUCACAUGAAAAGUGCCAAUCACGAUCAUAAAUAUGACGGUGAAAAGCUAUCAGUAUAGGCACCUUGACAUCUGUAGCUAUGCUAGUGUCAUCCUCUGUCAAAAAAAAAUUGAGUUACAACAAUAUAGAUAAUUUCAAUUUUGUAACAACGGAAGAGUUAUUGUUUAGAAUAACUUUAAACUAAACAUGCAUCGUUCAAAGGAAAUGGACGCAAUAACCAGCAGAUUCAUAAGGACUCGGAAAUUCUAUGCCAAAUAUGCGUGCCUUCCAUAAAGUAUUCUAGAAAAAGAAAAAAACAUUGAAAAAAAAAAAACUCGAGCUACUGGUUUUCAAUUGAGUUUCCAUUUUCAAGAGCUUCUAAAAAGAGCAGAAUCUUAAAAUCACUAUCGUUUCCCAAAGAAGUUGGACGAUAACACCAAUCCCUGCACAACAUUCAAAGCUUCAAAAAAUAAAAGAAAUAAAAACAAAGCAUUGAACAAUCACAUCUCCACACAGCGUUGAUAAUUAAAACCGACAGUACUGACAUUCAUUCGUCAUCGCAAGCUACAAAAAAACAAAACAAUAAAAAGCGCGCGCAUCCAAUCGAAUAUACGAAUACAAACCAACGGUGUCGAGCGCUCGAAGAACCAGAUAGAAUAUGCAAACCUGACGGAAAAGGAAAACGAGGUCAGUGGAGAAAAGGCGGAAUCGAAAUCAGAAAACGAGAGAGGAAUCGGAAGGAACUAACCGCGUUGCGAAGGUCGGUGCCGAGCUGCUGAAUGACGAGUGCGAAGCUUCUAGAAACCUUGUGCAGCAUAGUGUAACAGAAGGCCCAGUGCAGCUCCGGCGGGAUCUGCUUCUCAGCGUUUCUGGCGGCUAUUUUGAGCUUCAGCAACGGGUAAAAGUCAUCUGGAUGCUUCAGAAUCGAUCUCAGAGUCCCCAUUCUCGAAGCUUCCGCGUUCGAAUUUCGAUAACCACAAUCGACGUUCUUUGGAGCUAUUUGUAACUGCGCAAGAUCUUCCCUCCGAUGGUGACUACGACUACUUCGCCUUUCGGGUUUGCCAAAUUUUGGAAAAAGGGAAUAUAUAACUAUUUAUUCAUUUAUGGAUUUAAUUAUUAUUUAUUUAUUUAUUUAUUUGAGAUUGAAAAUUAUAAAUUAUAUUUCUAGUCACACUCGGUAUCAGCUAGCAAUUGCUUUCAUCCGCGACAUAAAUAAACAUAAAUAAAACAGUUUUAAAUAUAUAAAUUAAGAUGUGUCUUCCAAUAUAAAUCAUCCAUUAUCUUAUUUAGAUUCUAGACAUUAAAAUCCAAAAGUUUUUUUUUCUUAUUUUGGAUACCAAAAUUCAAAAAAGAUAAAAAGAUAACCAGAGAAUUAGCAUUUUCAUUUUGUAGACAAAUUCGUUUAAAUGCACGUCUUGUCCCUUUGUCUGGACUGGAUCAGAUUUUUAUAUAGGAAUCAUCCUUCCUUAGCCUAACCACCAAUGACUACCAUUUCUUUUUUGUAGUCUUUUAAAUUAAAAUUAUCGUUUUACCCUUAAAAAAUAUACUUUUAAUGAAUAAUAAUAAAGGUAGUUAACAAAUAAAUAAUUGAUGGUACUAUAUCAUGAUUUUUACUAAUAUGUUGUAAUAUUAUUUUUUUCAUUAUUAAAAUUGAUAAAUUAUAUUAUUUGAUACUAUUUUAGUCUUGUGUUACUUAAUAUGAUUUUUAAAGUCGUGACUUAUUUAUUUUAGUAAUUUUUAAAAAAAUUAUUUAAUAUAAUAAUUAAGAGAUAAAAUUAUACUAUAUUAAUAAAUAUUUUUAUUAUACUUAACGAAAUCUUGUCAUCUUAUAUGAUUUAUCAAUUUUAAUAAUUUUUAUAAAAUUUAUUUACUUUGAUAAGUAAAAAAUAAGACUACACCACAUUAGGAAUAUCUACUAUGUGUGAAUAGUUAAAAAAGAUGUAAGUAAACAAGAAUUUUAAAAAAUAAAUAAAUGUUGUAACUCUAAAGAUAAAAUACUGCAUACAAAAUUAUAUCCUUUUAGAUGACUUUUAUUAUUUAUAGGUUUUAAUUUUGGAAGAAAUUACACUUGAGUCUCUAUUCCUAUCAAAAUAUUUUUAAGUAUUUUUUCAUAAUAUAAUGAUUCUACAAUAAUUUUUUAUUUAUACUUUAAAAGAGAUAUAAAUCAUGUAUAUUAAAUAUUUUAUUUUAUAAUCUAUGGUCUUAAGUUUAAGAUAUUUUGAGGUCGUAUUAGAAUGUUUUGAUAAGAUUUUAUCCAACUAAAAUAUCUUAGAUACAAUUAUUCACUCUAAUGAUACUAUCCCAAUAUUUUCUGUUUUAAAAUUUAAAAUUUUAUCAUAAUUUUAUUUUUAAAAACACAUAAAAAAAUUAAGAAAUGAAAUGAAUAUGUGUUUAAAUUAUCUUUAAAUUGAUUUCAACAUAUAAAACUAUUAAAAUACUGAAAUAAUAUAUAAUUUAUUUUAAAAUAUAAAUGGUAAAAUAUACUAUAUGCAACGAUGAGAUUAAUAUAUUACUACGUCCGUGUAGCAGCUUUAAUGAUAAGACAGCAUAUUAAUUGUAAAAAUUGAAAAUAUUAAAUUUCUUUACAUUUUUUUAUAUUAUUUAUCAUUGAGAGUGGAAAAUAUUUUUUUCUAAAUAACGAUGACAUUAAUAUAUUACUACUUCGUGUAUCAGUUUUAAUGAUUUAAUCACAUCAUAUUAAUUGUGAAAUUACCAAAAUAUUAAAUCUUUUUACUUUUUUAUAUUAUUUAUCAUCGAGAAUGGAAAAUAUUUUUUUUUCUAAAUACCACCACUAACUGUGUAAACAAGUUUUACCAACGAGGACUGAAACUUUAACUUUUAUUUAUUUGCAAACACUAAAACUUGUGUAUUUCUCAUGUGAGAACAAAAACUUGAAACAAUUACCAAGUGUAUCGUUUAAUCCUUUUAAAAUAAGUACAUUAAAAUUUGUAGCAGAGAAAAUUCUUAUAUAAUUAACAGUGUAAAAUCUUGUACAGUAAAAAAAUAUCUAAGUGGGAAAAAAAAAACAAUAAUAAAUAAAAAAUUGUUAUCACAAGUUAGCAAAGAGACAGAUACCAACCUAUUUAAUAGUAUAUCUAACUUAAACUACAGUCUUAAUUUAAGACUUGUAUUAAAAAAACAUUAUUAAAACAUACUAAUGUAAUAUAAAGAUAAUCUUAAAUUUAAGAUUCUAAAACUCAAAAGUGAAAAAUAUUUUAAAUUUUAAUAUAAUAAUUAAAUUAUUUUUUAAGACUAGAAAACAUGAAAUAUUAAACUAUACAAUAAAAUAAAAUAAAACAAAAAAUAAAUGAAUAAAUGGAUGUUAUAAAAAUCGUUCAUGUACUAAUCACAUAGUACACACGAUGAAUAAGAUAAGAAAAGAUCAUAAAUAUCACAAAAGUUUUAUAUCUUCGAUGUUACAUAUAUCUCGAUCUUCCAUAAAUGCAUGGUUAUUAAAGUCAACGAAACACACAGAUUUUUUUUUAAAAAAAAAUAUGUUUGAAAUACGUUGACCAUGGAAGAUAUUUCACGUUAAUUGUCAGUGUAAAUAGUAAAUUAACAUAUAUAUAUAUAUAUAAAAUACAUUUCUUGAUUUUUUUCUUUGAAAACAACGAAAUGUUUUCAAUUGAUAGUAUAUUAAAAACCUAUAAAAAUAAAUUAUUUAAAACGUACUUAUAUAAUUUUUUAAAUAUUUAAAUUAAUGUUACAUGAGUAAUCAAGUGAUACUUUGAGUAUACACUUAAAAUAUUUUAAAUUAUUAAAAUAAUAAAAAUGUAAGAAAAAAAAGUGAAAGUUUAGUUAAGUUUGGGAUAUGUAUGCUCGUUUUUAUAAUUUAAUUUAUUAGAUUUGGUUAAGUUUGAGAUGAAUAUUUUCAUGUACUAUUAAAUUAAAAUACUUUGAAAGGUGAUUUUAUUAAUGCAUGGUAUAAAAUAAAUUUAAUCAAAACAGUAAAAUGAUUAAUAAUUUGAUAACUUAAUAUCUUGAGAAAAAAAUAAGAGAAUAUACAAGUAUAAACUAAAUUAAUAUUGAAAGAUAUGGAUAUAAGUGUGUAUAUUAUAGUUAAUUCCAAUGAAAUAUUAGAAAUAUAAAUCGAAGAAAAAUACUCGAAAUUAAAAAAAAUGAAACAUGUGUCUUUAUAAAAAAAAUUAAUAAAAAUAUUGUAAAUAAAAAGGUACAAGAUAAACGUAUACUAAAACAUUAUUUCUAUUUUACUUUCAACGAUUUAACAUAAGACGGGAUAUAUCCUUUUUAUUAUGUAAUCACUAAAUUAUAAUUAUAUUAUCUGAAUUAUUCAUUUUUUAUCUUGAAAAACGUGACCAAUAAAUCUUAAAUUACUUUUAGUUUUUAAGCAUUUAAAAGUACAUAUUAAAUUAACUUUAAUAUACAUUCUUAAAUAGUUUUAAAUUGAUUAAUAAGCUAUUUAACGAGUUUUUGAAUAAAUUUUCGAAUUCAAAAUUUAUAAAUAAAAAGCAUGUUUUAAAAAGAUAUCUUAUUAAAAAUAUCCAAUUACAUUAUUCCAGGAAUUAUAUUUAUUAUGAAAAAUAAUGAAUAUUUUUUUAAAAAAUACAAUGAUCCAUUUUGAAUCUAAUAAUAACUUUUUUAACCAAUUUGAUUUCAACAUUAUAUUUUCACAGUUGUUUUCAGGUAUCACUACUUCAUAUUAUUCCACACAAAAAAUGAAAUAUCAAUAAGUAAACAUAAAAAAUUUAAAUAAUGAGACGCACCUAACUAAGAAAAAGAAAAGAAAACACGUUUUGUUGCGGUUUUUUUUCCACCAAUUUGUUUAUGCAGGGCACGCGAGAAGCGAGUGACACGCUAAAAGCGAGUGACUCAAAAAUAUAAUUAUUAAUAUAUACUUCUCCUCUACUCACUGAAUAUAUGAAGUAUAUGUCACGAAAUUUAUUUAAUAUUUUUGUUUAUAUAAUAAAUAUAUUAUUCUCAAAUUAUAUUUAUUGAGAAUUAGAUUUAAGUUUAUAAAUAAAGCUAUUUUGAUAUUAAAUAAGGUUUAGAAAAUAAAAAUUAAGUCUAAUAAAUAUUUUUUAAUAUUUGAUGUUAAAGGAAAAACUUUACAAAAUCAUUAUUACAUUGAGGAUUGAGGGAAAUGAAUUAGGUGAAUUUUAUCAUUUGUUUUAUCUAUUAAAUUACUGAAAUGAUAAUUUCUAGAAUGAAAAUAUAAAUUAUUUGAUGUUUUCAAUUUUUAAUUCAACAUUCAUUUUUAUUUAUUAUUCAAUUUAAAUAUGUAUUAAGAGAAGGUUAGUGUUUUGCUAUGGAAAAGAAUAGUGUAUUUGUUAGAAUGAAGAAACCGUUAAUUGGGACCGUUCGAUAUAAUCAUAUGUUAGACCGAUAGUAAAAUGCCUUUCCUCACCUAGCUAUUAAAUUUAUUUUGGGUGUAAUUUAUAUUUUAGUUUUUAAAAUUUUAGAGUAAAAUGUAUUUUUUCUGUUUCAAAUUUUGUAAAAAAAUAGUUUCUAAAAUAUUUUUAUAUUAUUCUAAAUGCUAAAUCCAAGAAACUAAAAUAAAUCAAUAUCUUAAACAAUAAAUAUAUGAAGACUAAAGGAACUAAAAUGAUUUUUUUAAGGGAAUCCGAAUUCCAUUAAAAAUUAGGGUUUAGGUUUGAAUAUGUUUAAAAUUGCAUGGGUUAAAAAUAUGUUUAAAUUUUUAUUAUAAGGAUAUAGGUUUUUAAAGUGCAUUUAUAUGGGAAGUGUGAUUUGUGGUUGUAAAUUGAAUAAUAUUUUAUUUCUGUGGGGUGGUGUAGAUAGUAGAUAAUUGUUAGUACUGGUUUUCUUUGGGCGUGGGCUUUGGGAGGGGCAAUGGGAGUGGAAAUAGUGAAUUAGGGAGUGGCGUGGGAAGUUAUAAGUUUAAGCAUUUUAAGUUAGAGAUGACCCACAAGACAAAUCUUUCUUUCUUCUUUCUUUUCUCUAAGUUUCACUUUGAUUUCUCAAAUUCUCCUCCAUUUUUAAGUUUCAGUGAUUUCAUCUUAAAAAAAUAAAAAUAAAAAGUAGCACAAUUUGGAGUUAGAAAAGUGUAAGUUUGUUUUAUUUUAGUGAUUUCCUUUUGGAAGAAGUGAGCUUGUGUUCAAUUCACCAAUAUAAGGUUUUGGGUUAUUAAGUUUGAAAUUUUAUGAGUUGAAUCACUGUUAUUCUUUAGCACUUUCCCUUGAAUGAUCCAAUGUUGAGGAUAACUAAUUUUCAUUAUGUUAAAUAUUAAAUUUGGUACGUGUAAGAGUUGUUUGGGUUUUAAUUUUAAUGAAUUUUGAUUGCACAUGAAAUGUUAAAAAAAUGGGAUUUCAUUAAAAUGUUAAAUGUUACCUGUAUGGUUUUUAUUCUGGUGCGAUGAGUAAAUUACAUUCUUGUUGAAAUGAAAGAAGAUACUUCCUAACCUCCAUUCUAGCUUUUAUACUUUCAUUCUAAUUAGUUUAGAAUUUAAAAGUUUCCAAAAAUAUGAACAAGUCAAAUAAAUAUAUUUUAAAACGUGUUAUGAAAUUUCUGGAAUUUUGGGAGGAAGAAUUUCCCAUUAAUUGAAUGUUAUGUUUUAAGUUAGUCAUAUCAAUGCAAUGAUAUAAAAAACCACUUUAGAGUAUAUCUCGUAUAUUUUAAAUGGUAAUUAAAUAUUUAAUUAUUAAAACAAAAAAUAGUAUAUAGAUAGAAAAAUCAAUUAUUUAUGUUUUAUUUUAAGAUAAUCAUUAUUUCUCUAUAAAAUUUUUUCAUCAACUUUCUCUUUAAUUUGCUAAAUUCAUAUGUCAUCAAACUAAUUAUCGAAGUUCACCAUUAGAUUCUUAACAACGAAUACUAUAAGAUUGUCCUGUUGGAGUUUUAGAUAAAGUAAGUUCAUUUUUCUCUUUUUUACAUUUGAGUUGGUUUUGAACUUGUUACUUUGGUAUAGAUUUUUGCAUGUGAUAUUUUUAGCUUAAAGACCAGUCUUUGUCAGAGUCUUAGUAAUAUGCCUUUGAUCAGGACUAUGUAUUGCAAGUUAAGUUAUCCUUGGAGCCAUGUAGUUGAAGCUCUAUGUGAGCACACAUAAUCAAGUAAAAAAAGUUAGAUUAAAUUUUCAAUAAAAUCCUAGAUUAGAAUAUUUGGAUAUGGGUGAAGUGGUCACCGUUUUUAAAUCUCCUUGCAAGAUUGUUUACUUUUGAGUAAAACAAUAUUGAAUGGAAUUAAAUGUGAAAUGGUUUAUUUUGUAUAGUAUAUGUUGAUUUUGACAUUGAUAAGUUAUUAAAUGUGUUUUUGUCUGAGAUUGAAAGUAUUGAAUGAUAGUAUGAAUUGGUUUGAAUUUCAUCAUCAUUCAAUUGAAGUGUAAGAAUGAUAAGUAUUGGUUGUUUGAAUCUAAAUGAUUGAAAGUGGUUUAGAAAUAACAAAUGUAUAAACUGACAUAAUAACUUAAUGAAAGUAACUUUGCAACUCUAAGCAUGAUAUGUUUUGUUGCCUCGUAUGUUUUAUAAAAUUCAAGUUUGAGUGUGAAAUUUUGUUGGAAAUUUUGAAAUAUAGUAGUUUUAUGUAGCUUUUAAUAUGCAACUUUCGUUGAAACUAGAAGAUUAUCGCAAAAACAAGGUAAAAAAUGGGGUGCUAUCGAUUUGAUUUUCAUUUCUGCUAAAGCUAAAAAAAACUUAAAUUUCAAUGUUUGCUUAUGUGUUUUUGGAUUAUUAUUAUUUUUUUUUAAUUUAAUUUUAUAUGAAAUUUAAUUAUAUAUUUAGUUGAAAAUUCUUUAGUCCGUGUGAUUAUGUUCAUUUUAUGAGUAGAAUUUAUUUGUUUGUUUUCUAAACUUUGGUGUGAUUAACUUGUGUGUUUUUGUAUAAUGUAAGAUAAGAAAUAUGAAGUUGUAAUCAAGAUAUGAUAUUUUUAGAAAAUAAAAUACUAUGUUAAAAUUGUUAGGAUGUACAUUGAUUGGUGAUUUGUUUUGAAAGAUAUAUUUUGAUUUUAUUGAUAUAAUGAAAUCAUAUAAAUGAAGUUAUUUAAGUGACAAAGUCGAAUGUAGUUCCCAUGAACGUGUCCGUUGUUUGAAAGACAACUAAUUUGACAUGAUAUGUGAAUUAAUCAUGUAUUUAAUUAUGUUUUCUUUAUCUGUGAUGAUCGUGUUUUUACACGGAAGAAAAUGAUGAUGAAGGUGGAAGAGUUCUAAAUUAGAUAAAGAAAAUGUUUAAUUUUUCAAGAAUUUUAUUUGAUAUGGGUAGAUAUUAAAUUUCAAAUAAAAAAAAUAUUUUGAAUUAUGUAUAAUUUAUAUGUUAUAUAUAGAGAGAUAUUUAUUUUAAUAUUCAUACCUAUUAUAUUUUAUAUAUAUAAUAAAAUAAGAAUGUUACAAUUCAGAUUGAUUUAAUUUAAACAAAAUCUACUAUCUUUUUUAGAUGAUUUAACAAUUUCAUAACAAACAAUUCCAUGCAUCAUCUAUGUGAUAAUUUUUAUGACUAUCAUCAUAAGUUGAAGAAUAGACAAUAAAAAUAUAUAAUUCGAACUAAACAAAUAUUCAUUAACAAUCUGAUAGCUUUUUACGUGAUUAUAAUCAUACAAUUAUAUUUACAUUCAUAAACCAUUAAAUAACACAAUAAUGAAUCUUAAUUAAGCAACAUCACAUAAUACAUUUUUUCAGUAAAACAAAGUUAACAGCAAAAAACCCGUAACUAAUUAAUCAAUUAUUCUCACAAUUUCAAUAUAUUUUUUCAUACGACGCUGACCUUUGACUUACUAUAUUUUUAAACAUUUUUUAAUAAUUAACAGUCUAGAUUGUAGACUCAAUUACUAUUAACAUUUGAAAAUGUAACCAUUAGAAUCUCAUGAAAAGAUAAUGUAACUAUUUAGUUUUUAUUUUGAAAAUGAAAUUUUGAUUAUAAAUUAAACAGUUUUUUUAAAAAAAUUGCUAACGAAGGGUGAAAUGAUGAAAGUGUUGAAAAAAGAGUGUAGGAUUUUUUAUAUUAAAUAUUUGUGUAGUUAUAACUUAAAAUUUAUAAUAAAUAUAUCAAAUGAGUUUUUUAAUUGUCAAAUAAAUGGAUGGAAAAAAAUUUGGUGUGAUGGAAUAUGUUACAAAAUUCUUAUUAAGCAUUCAUGUGAAAAUAAUUUAGUUUGAUAACAUAUAUAAAUUAAACUUUAAGAAGUGGAAGUUGCAUUUAAGGCUUGGCAAUAAAUGUUAUAUAGAAGGAUAAUAAGAACAAGUCAUCUACUUAUUAUAAUUCAUAAUGAAUUUAUAUUUUUUAAUUAAAACUUCACCAUUUAUUGUUAUCUUCUUCGGGGAAACAUAUAUAGUUAUUUUGAUUUUUUUUUAUGAUGUACCCUUUUUCACAUAUAUUGUAUUUUCUUUUAUUAAAUAUUAAAUAUUUGUUCUAUUUAGUCAUCAAAGAUGAAGUUCAGAUUUUUCUCUUAAAUGGCGUGUCGGUGUUCGAUACUUGUAUCAGACACCACACUCUUAUGACAUUGUAGAACACGUAUCCGUGAAGUGUCUAAUUCAAAAACUAUUUGUUAGAUUUCUGACAAUUCUAGUACGGUUGCAACACAAUUUUAAAAAGAAAAAAAAAAUUAAUUUUCUAAAAAUUCAAACUUGAUUAUAUAAAUUAUUAUUAUGAUUAUAAAAAAAAUAAACAAAUCCUUGUGAACCAGUCAGGAAAAACAUCUUUUUGUUUUAAAAAAAUAAUCUGAAAUAUACUUAUGCAAAUAAAUCUUUAUUGUCAAUUUAUAUAAUUCAUAAUUAUAUAAUAUAUAGAUUCGUGUAUCUGUGUUCUAUAUUUGUGUAUCUGUGUUCUAUAUUUUAGAAAUUUUUACGUAUCUCCGUUCGUACAGUGUCUCUGAGGUGAUAAAUAAUAAAAUUGUUUACUAUUCUGAAUAAUGGUUUACCAUGAAACCGUCUCAAUCAACAUUUACUGUCAAUAAAAUGCAAUUUGAUUUAUAUAAUUUUGCAGAGCUAAACAAUAAUUAAAAUAUAUAAAAUUGUUGAAAAUUUAAUUACAAAACCCUAUCAAUAAAAAUCUCUUAGAAAAACUUUAGAAAAUCACCACAUACUUACAAAUUUCUUUUAAAACCUACAUUUUUUUUUUUGAAAUCUCAAUGGAAUAAAUCCUCUUAUUUUUGCAAAAUAUAAAAUUAGAACUUCUAGCAACAAGAAUAGAAAUAUUGAAUAUAUAAUGUUGAACACAUUUCCCUGUCGUUAUAUAAAUCUAUUACAAAUUAUUAAAUUUCAUAAAUUCAAUAAUCCAUCCACAGUACUUUUAUAAUUUUAAUAAAUAAUAAUAUUAUUACUAAAAUAAGCAUGUGAAGAAUGUACUGUUAGCAAGAGAAGAAAAGGAUAGAAAAUCAGUUGAAGUGUGGUGAGCCACUCAGACCUGUGUUCGGUGGGAGGGAAUACUCUGUUUCGUUUUCCUUCCCUCCACCAAAGCAGUGCAGAGAGCAAGAAAUGGCAUUCAAACUCAAAUCACUACCUCUUCCUUACUCUCUCUACUCCUCUCCCCGCCAAAACCCUAAUUUCAUGCUUUCAAACCAUCGUCUUCCUCGUCGUUUCGCUGCACAUUCUCUUCCUCUCAGUCUCUGUCUCUCAAGCACAGCUUCUGCAUCCACGUUUCAUCGCACUGCCUUCGUUACCGCACGCGCAUUUCAAAGUGAUGAACUCAUUAACGAAGGCGAAGAAGACAGAGAUGAAGAAAUGCCGAGACAGGGUGAGAAAAAGGAACUAGCGAAUCAAGGGAUAUGGAGGCAGAUGAAGGACAUUGUGAUGUUUACAGGUCCAGCAACCGGACUUUGGAUAUGUGCACCACUUAUGAGUCUCAUCGAUACUGCAGUUAUUGGUCAGAGAAGCUCCAUUGAACUUGCUGCUCUAGGUAUUGAAACGGAUCAAUCGUCGCUUAAUCCGCAUUAUUAAGAUUUCUCUUAAUUAUGAAAAAUAUAUCGUUUAUCUUCUUUUUUUCCUUCGAGCAGGUCCUGCUACUGUUGUUUGUGAUUACAUGAGCUACGUGUUCAUGUUUCUCUCAAUCGCCACUUCCAAUAUGGUUGCCACUGCCCUUGCUAAACAGGUUGGUAACAGACACGUGAGAUUAUUGAAUGCUAAAUAAGAUAGUGUAUCGAAAAACUGAGGCACGAUGCAAUUAGGUCCAUAUCUGUGAUGUUGACACCAUUGAUGUUGUUAAGUAUAGUGAGUGUAGUGAAGUUACUCUUAUGUGCUACAAGGGAGAAUGGUGGUGCCCUGCGGUUUUUCGUCACAGAUCUUUUAACAUGGUUUAUCUUGUAUAUAGCUUGCAUGUGAGGACAACAUAGAACUGUAAAAUUUUGUUCCCAGACAAUUUUUUUUAGUGGUUUAUCUUUACGAGAAAGUUUAUGUAGUGGCUCUAUACUGGCAUUUUUUUUCUGGUGUUAACACUAUGGACCAAAGCUUAAAUUUAUGCAUGUGUAGGAACUAAAGCUCACAGUUUUCUCUCAGACGGACUAAACUUAGAAUGGAGACAAGUAUAGGGACCAGUGAAUAAUUUAACCCAACACUUAUUAGCAGUAACGAGCCGGCUAGACAAUAGAGAGUGAUCGUAAAACUAAAUAACAGAUUAUUUGAAAUUAAAUAAGCUCUAUUGUUAUCUGCAGUUUGUUAUUAUAAGUAGAGACCAUACCUUCUUCUGGUUUCUAGGCUACUGUAUCGUUAUGUAUCUAUUUAAACAAGUGUAUACCGAUACAAGUGAAUACAAAUCUCUUUACCAGAUUGAUUGCUAUAACAAUAUCGGUGAUUAGGAAAUUAAUGUCUACACUACAGUAAAUAUUGGCGUGGAUGAUUUAUCUACUACUACUACUACUAUUAUUUUUAUUUGAAUUGACUGAAUCUACACGGUUGUGUAGACUUCAAUUUGUAUACUUACACUACAGCUUAGCAUUGAAUGUUGUAAAAUGUAAAUACGCUGUGAUGCAUGGUUUAUCUAUUAUUAUUAUUAUUAUUAUUAUUAUUUGAUUCGACUUAAUCUACACGAUUCAAUUUGUAUAUCCACCACUCUGCACUUUCAGGACUUAUACUGCUCUUUCACGAGUUUAUGUAGGACAAAGAAGAAGUACAACACCACAUAUCUGUUUUGCUUUUUGUUGGGCUAUCUUGUGGCAUUGCGAUGCUUUUGUUCACAAGGCUAUUUGGUGCUGCAAUAAUAACUGGUAUUGAAAAUGGAGUGUUUUAUCCAUCUGUGCUCUUCAACUCAUUUUGGAUAGCUAGAAUGAACCUGAAAGGUUAGUACUGUAGAGCCAAUCCCAUAACUGAUGAUUUUGCUAUUUACAUGCCUUUUCAGCUUUCAUUGGACCAAAGAAUGCACACAUAGUACCAGCAGCUAGCAGUUAUGUAAAGGUUUGUUUCUACCCGAUUUUAUAUCCUUUGAGUUAAAUAAAGACUGCAAUCCAUGCUCUAUAAAUUCUAGAAGUUACAGAACUGUUAUGGAGACAAGUAAUUUACCAGUUCAUAAGCUUUUUUUUUUCUUGUAAUUAUGAUAAAGGUAUUAUGUAAGAUUGCUUUUUUUACAAAGGGAUAGAAUCUUGUAAUAUGAAUUUGCUUCAUUAAUUAUUUUUAAACAAUAUGUGAUGGUGUUCACAUCCACUUUUUUUUAUGCUGUAAAUUUUCAGUUACAGUUUUCUUUUUCUUCUUUCAAUUUUAGAUUCGAGGCUUGGCAUCACCUGCCUUACUUGUUGGAUGGGUUGCUCAGAGUGCAAGGUGCAAAUAUGCUAUUUAUUUCUAACAUCUGAUUCUCUGAUGUAAGUAGUUGGAAUUUUUAUGUCAAAUCUGAGAUACUGCUCCAGUCUUGGUAUUCCAUUUCAUGCAGCAAUUGAUAUCAAGAUGAAAUACUGUUCAAUAUAUCAGUAGAUUAUUCUUGAUAUUUUAUUGUGUAAAAUUCCUUUGCUUUAACAUUUCUGAAACAACAUCUCUAUAUCUGGAAUAUAUAUUGUCUAUUUCUUAUAUUUUAAGCUAAGUAUGUAUUUUCCUCUUUCUAAGUUUUCUUUAAAAAAUAAUUGUAAUUAUGAAUAACCUCUUAAAGUUUCUCUUAUAUUCGCAGAGCUUAAUACAUACCAAGUAUCAAUGUUUGCUUUGUCUGAUUUGAAGAAUAUGUCAAUAUUUGGCUUGUUAAAUUAAUUAAUGGUUUUGGUAUUCAUGUUCUGCAGUCUUGGUAUGAAAGAUUCCUGGGGACCCUUGAAAGCUUUGGCUGCUGCUAGUUUUAUAAAUAUAAGUGGUUGUAUAAUUUUGUGCAUCUGUUUAGGCUAUGGUAUUGUAGGGGCAGCAUGGGCUACAAUGGUUUCACAAGUAUGCUGAACUAACUCUUAUUUAUGAUAAUAUAGUGGCUUGUAUUAUAUACGGUUGUACUCAUUCUCAAAGUACUAAGCUCAUUGUGCACUGCUUUUCUCUUCCCUUUUUGCUUCUAGGUUGUUGCUGCUUGCAUGAUGAUUCACACUCUAAACAAAAAGGGAUAUAAUGCACUUGCCUUCUCCAUUCCUUCAGGGCAGGAAGUUUUGACGAUAUUUGGUCUUGCUGCUCCUGUAUUUAUGACAAUGAUGUCAAAGGUUGUCUCUAGUGUAAUACUAGUUCUGUAGCUUUGUACGCAGUAGUCUAACCUUUUAAUAUAAUCUGAAGUUAUGAUGUUUAGGUGGCUUUCUACUCACUACUUAUAUAUUUUGCUACAUCAAUGGGUACACAUACAAUGGCUGCUCAUCAAGUUAGUUUUAUUUCCUGUCUCCUGUUUUUGUGACUAUUGCUUCCUUUGCCUGCUAUCUGAGUUUUUUUUUUUCUUUCUUUCCGAAAACGAAAUUCUAGGACAAUAAUAAUCUAAUUUCUUGCUUCAGGUCAUGGUCCAAACAUAUUCCAUGUGUACAGUAUGGGGUGAACCUCUCUCCCAAACCGCUCAAUCAUUUAUGCCUGAACUGAUAUAUGGAGCAAAUCGGAGUUUGUCCAAGGUUAGUUAGUGUUUCUCAUUUAUAAUGUCACAAAUCAUUCUCUGAUGUCAAAAGGUAUUUGCCCUGUCUUCUAUCUACGGCCUUUGAUCUCUCAACCCCCCUUUUUCUUGUUUUCAUAAUAUCAAACAGGCCUGAUUGCUUCUAAGGUCGCUUGUGAUAAUUGGAGUUAUACUUGGCUUAUUGUUAGGGAUUGUUGGAACAUCAGUUCCUUGGUUAUUUCCCUACAUUUUUACACCUGAUCGGAUGAUCACCCAGGAGGUCAGUUCAUUCUUUUUUCAAAAUUUAGAUCACAUAUUUGUGUUGUCUCCUCUUUCAUUUUAAUCCACUGCAACCUGUUUCAAAAUGUGUGGCAGUACUAUCAAUCAUUAGAAGCUAAAUUGCUUUCUUCCCAUGGUUUAUUUUGUCCCUUGAGAGUUUUAUGAUUUUAAAACGUAGUCUGGAUAAUAAUGAUUUUAAAGCCGGAAUAGAGACAUUAAAAUGGUAAGAUACUAAUGCACAGUCGAACUAUUAUAAAUUAUACACAAAAUAAUUAUAAAAUAUAAUAAAACAUAAAGAGGAUUCUUUUGGUUAUAUUUGAAAAUUAAAAAAAGGACCAUAUUAUUAUGUCUCUUGCAUUGUUAAAACUUAAUAGCAAUAGUUGAAUUAAUAAAUAAAUUUAAUUUACAUAAAUACUAUUAGUAAAAUGAGUAAAUAUGAUUUAAAAUGAGCUAUUAUAAAGAUUUUGUGAAAUAAAAUAGCCACCACAUGUAAUGUAACAAAGAAGUAGUUGCCAGCAGUGAGGUGAUGAUGGAUGAAGCUGGAGGUAUCAAAUUUGAAUCCUGAGAUUAGAUGUAUGUGCAGAGAUUUUUAUGAAUUAUAAUAAUUUGAAAUUUAGACUAUACAUAACUGUUAACUACUGUAUUUGUAACCUUGCAGAUGCAUAAGGUGCUGAUUCCAUACUUUAUAGCCCUUGCUGUAACACCCCCUACUAUCAGCCUUGAGGGAACAUUGCUGGUAUGUAUGCUCACUUCAUCUUCUUCCAUACUUGUUCUUGUAGGAUGUUUACGAUCUUUGGGUGUGUUUGGGUAAAACGUGUAUUUGAAAGUUGCACAGCUGUGCAGAAAAAUGGCGCAGCUGUGCAAUUUGUCAUGCAGAAUGAGGCAUGCGAUUUUUAAUUUUAAAUCCCUUUCCUCAACCCUUAAAUCCCACAUUAUAUCCUAAAAACCCUCAUCCCCUUCUCAGUUGUGCCCCUAUUUGACUCACCCCUCAAAUUUUCAUCUUCCUCGUCCCCCCAGAACCUCCUUAGCCACUCCUUUCACCACCAUCAUAUACCUACCCUCCACCACAGUUAAACCAACCAUACUCCAUAUAAAAUCUUCCUUAUCUCUUUCCCAGGUCACACAACCUUCUCCUUUAUCCUACCCACCAGCUUUCAUCUUCUUUCUAUCUCCUCCAAAUCACCAUUAUUGCAACUCAGUGGUCUCCAAGCAGAAGAAUCCAGUUGUUGGGUCAUCUCAACCCAAACCCUCAAGGGAGAAGCUCUAUUUGAGGAAGAUGGUGGAAACACCCACUGCUAAUUCACUUGAUUUCACUAGAAAAAAUAUGAUGCUUUGUACUGCCACACUUUUUGUGCCACUGGUUACUUGGAUUUCUCCUUCCUUGAUUUUAUAAGCUUGAGGAUGAUUUCAAUUUAUGUUUUUGGCAAUAUGGGGGUGGGCGAGAUCUACCUCAAUGAAGGAAAACUUCUACUUGGGAUUAGUUUUGGAAUUCUUAGUACUUUGUAUAUUGGAAUUAAUUAUGGUGAUCCAGUCAAUGAAGGAGAAGUAUCAUUCAGACAACGGGGUACAACAAUGUCGUGGCUGAAAUCAAUCCCAUUUUUGGCUUCCUGCUAGUGGAAUAAAGCAUGAGCCCCCCAUUCACCUAUUAGUGAGUCUUAGUGGAUGCUAAAAAAAUGCAUCUUUUCAUCCUUAGUUCCCCCCCUUCAUCUAGAUUAUGCAUAGGUUAUUAACAUCCACCAUUUUGGUGGAGGUGAGUGAAAUGGAAAAAUCAGUUACCGUGACCUUCUCUUUUUUAUGGGCUACUGAUUGACGAAUAGGAACAACUUGAUAUUGGUGUCUUGCUUGCUAGGUGACUUCAAACUAUUGCCAAUGGAACUUUUAGUGUAGUUGUGCUUGAGGGCCUCAUUAUCUCGAUUGCUAAGUGCUAUUGUCAUACUUAAUUCCUUGAUCAUUUGGAUCCCCUUGAAGGUUUACCCACAAUGAUCUAGUUAUUGUACAAUUCAUGGGAUGCAUCAAGCUCCACAUGUUGUUUAUGAACAUAAGGUUGGUGCAUACUACUUUGAGAGAACAUGGGUAGCUACUGGUUAUAGACAUUUGUUUGAGGAACUACUAAGUAGCAAGCAUCAGUCUUUUGUUCAUAAACAAAGUGUUAGACCUUGAUGCAUCCCAUGGUAGUGUCUAGGUCAAUUGUUGGUGAGCCUUCACAGAUAUUCAGUUGAUAAGAAUUGAGUAUGAUCAUAAUGCUUAGCAAUGGACGUCAGAACCCCAAGCAUAAAUGCUUGUGGGUCAAGCAUAACCCAUAAAAAGACGAGGUCAAGGGAGCUGAUUUUUCUGUUCGACUCACCUCGACAAAAAAAAAAAUAAAUAGUUGAUGCUUAAAACCUAUGCAUAAUCUGAGGUGGAGAAAGAAUGUGGAGUUGCAAUGCGAUGUUGUCCACUCAUUAGUGAUAGCCUCCAGAAAGUUUUUGGGUCAAUAGGUGGAUGAGGGUUUGUGUUUCAUUCCACAAGUAGGAAACCCAAUAAUGGAAUUGAACUCAGCCAAUGCAAUGUUAACAACAUACCAAGAAGUACUGAGAAAUUUCAAAACCACUGUUAGGCAUAAUAUUUCCUUCUAUGUGGCAAAUCUUGUCCACCCCACAUUGCCUAACAAAAUUGAAAUCAUCCCUCAAAACUAGGAGAUCAAGGGAGGUGAAAUCCAAGUACACAUAGUGGUAUGACCAUACAUAACAUUGUACCUUGUCUAAUGGAAAGGGUAAGGAAUACAAGAACCAAAAUUGUUGGUGGGCGGUUGCCAUGUUAUUUUUUUGUACGAUAAAUGUUAGUUUUUCCGUUGGGGGGACUCAAACCCACGAUUAGGAUGAGUACGGGUAGUAGCUAUCCACUACCCCCGAUUACCCGUUUAAAAUUACCUGUGGAUUAUUUUAUACCCUUAGAUAUUUAUUUUUUGUAAAUUUUAAAAAUGGUUAUCUGAAUAUAAAUUCAAAUAAAAAAAUUAUCCUUGUUGGAGAUCCCACAUCGACUAGAGAUUAGAGUCUUUCAUUGUAUAUAAGUAGGUGCAAACCUCAACCCUAUGAGCCGGUUUAAUGGGGUUGAGUUAGGCUUAAAGUCCACUUCGUAAUAUGGUAUCAGAGCCCUUUCGAGCCUAUCCUAGCGAGUGUUUGUGUUGGGCCUAUCGUGCCACCCGCUAUCGGGCCGCUAUCGAACCACCCAUAAUAUAUAAUCCCACGCACGAGUUGGUAGUCUCAGCAUGAGGGGUGGGUUGGAGAUUCCACAUUAGUCUAGCUCAGUUGAUUGAACAAGAUGUGAGUUAUUCUAAACUCCUUACCAUGUGUUUAAUUUCUAUGGAUAAAAGAAAUAAAAUUCAAUUAUUAGUCUUUUUAAAAAAACAAAGUUAAAUAAGUCUACUUUGUGUGUUUCAUUAACUCUCUCAAUAUCUAAAUUCUGUUGUUUCAAGUUGAAUUAAUAUUUUGAUAUUUUUUUAUCAUAAUGGUAUCUAAUGCUUAUUUGAUGAUGAUUUAAUUUUAUGCCCAGUAUUGCAACUCAUUAGAAACAGGGACCUCUGCAUGUGCCACAUAAUAACUGCUAUUGCAACUUCAAUGUAUGUUUACUCGUGCAGGCUGGGCGGGAUCUGAGAUAUAUAAGUUUGUCAAUGACUGGAUGCUUUUGCGUGGGUUCACUAGUAUUAUGGGUAAACACCUUUCCUUGAACUCCUGGCAUAUUGCUUCACCAAUUUUGCCUGAAACAUCCAAUUUUUUGUGAUGCCCAGGCCUUGAGUAGUAGAUUUGGUUUGCUAGGUUGCUGGUUUUCCCUCGCAAUAUUUCAAUGGGUAAGAAUAUGACCUAGACUUGUACUAAGUUAAAGCACCAGUUCCUUAAGUAUCCUGAUUUUCAAUUCUGUUAUGGUUGUUAGGCUCGGUUUUCGAUGGCCCUCCUGCGCCUUCUUUCUCCCAAGGGCAUUUUAUACUCGGAAGAUACAGGCCAGUAUGAGCUGCUAAAGCUAAAGACUGCUUAGUUUGUGUCCCUGCUUUUAUACUUAUAUUAUAUUUCAUCACACAAGUUACAAGGACAGAAGACUGUUGGGUCAUCUCAACCCACGGGUCAUUAGUUUUAUAAUUCAUUUUAUCUGUGUUAGAUUGGAUUGAAUAAAUGAUUUUUCCUUCUAGUAGCAUAAAAAAUAAUUCAGAUCCUUGUAGUGGUGCAAUUUGUAUUGGUUUAUGUAAUACUUUUCUUUUUAAUUUUGUAUUUUUUUAAUGAUUUUUAUUUAACUGCCAUCUUCAAGGUUUAGAAUAAUAGUAAUUACACUUUUAUCAUUUAUAUAAACUGUCACUUAAUAUUUAAUUAAUUUACAUAUAUUUGUAUAUUAUGGUAUAGAAAUGAAAAAUAUGAAAUAGAAAAUUUUAUAAAUAUUUAUUAAAGUCAAGAAAAUUUGUAUUUUUUAAUCUUUUAAGAGAAUCUUAAAUUAUACCUAAAAAGAAAGUAGUAUGGUAUGACUUAUUACUUCGGUUGUAAACCAUUAACUAAGGGCCUUCAGAACAAUUCUCAUUUCCCUCAAUUAAUUUUGAAAAAUUGUAUAUGCUUGAGAAAUGAAACAUUUAUUUUCUGACUUGGUAUUCUUUUAGGAUUCUGUGACAAUUGCGAUAUACAAUUGUGGUUUGUAUAAAACUAAUCCUGAGGAAAAUGUUAUGUUUGGUAGUAAAUGAAUUUUGUGGUGAGGACUAUUGAAGGAUAGCACUUGUAUGAUACAAUUGGAUAACACAUGAUCAUCUUUUUCAGCAUCGAGUUAUCUUAACAUCUAGAAAUGAGAUUGUUAUCAAGUUGCAUGCUGAUAUUGACUCCGGGUGAUAGUCUUUGCUUAUUGAAUGAAGCCAUGGAUUUCAAAGGAGAAUGUUGAUACUUUGGUUUUUUUUAAACCAUUUCUUCCAAAUCACCAUUUAGAACUCAAAAUCGGUGUUCAUGUUAUAUUGAUAAUCAUGCAUAUAGUUUUUGGAUUAUACAAUGGUAUAAGGUUUAUAAUCACUAAAGUGAGUUGUUCUCUUCCACAAGCAAAGUAAGUUUGAGGGAUAUUAUUUGGCAAAAGGUUUUUAUUUCUUUAUUGUCAUUAUUUCCAUUGCAUAAUGAAAUUCCUUCUAACUUUUCAGACUUUUUUGUUUUUUUAGUGAAAAUAAAUAAGAGUUAAGGACAAUGCCACCAAUUAUACAUAGAAGCAAUCUCAAAAAAUUUAAUUAAGGGUGGACAAAAACUCCAAUUAAACUAAUCAAUAUAUCAAUAGCAGUUCAAGUUCAAAGCAACUCAAAUUUUAAUUUAAAUGAUAGUUUUCAUUUUAAAUUUGUAUUCAAAUUUCUAUUUAAAGAAUAUUUUGGAUUCUAAAAUACAACACUGAGGUCUUACAAAAUUUAUAUCACGUCAAUUUUUUUAUACAGAAAUAAUGAAUACAAGUUUGUCUCGAUCUAUAUGUGGUUUUGAUUUUUAUUUUCAGAACACAAAAAGCUAUUCCGAUUUUAUUUUUCUGGAAUGUAUUAUUUUUUAUUCUAGAUUUUUAUUUUUGGAAUAAAGGAUAUUUUCGAAAUUUUAUAAUUGUGUUGAGUGCAGUUUAAAAAAUAUUAGGUGUAGGAAGAAUUUGCCCGAAAAUGAACAGAAUGUGAAGAAGGAAUUUGGGCUUUCAAUCUGGAAGGAUCAAGAAUGUAAAAUUUGUAGUGGAUAGAGACACCUCGUACAAACUACAAAUAUGAAUUGGACGUGGAGGGUUUUGAAGGUGGCAUUUAGACACUAAUCAUGUGCCCGUGCCUCUUCGUUCUCAUUCGACGAGACUGCAAGUUCAAAUCUCGUGAUUGGGUUCUUCAGCGAAGACCAUAGAGAUAUAUGAACAACAACAUGCAUGUGCACUUGCACCCUCCAAAAUCACAUCACUCAUUUGUAUUUUAUUCAAUCAGUGCGAGUUUUUUUUCCUGGAAUUGAUCGGGUGGAUGAAAACAAAAUGGUUGAGAGACUUAUGCCCCUUGAUUCUGUAACCACAUCAAUUUGUGAUGGUGACCCAAAUAAAAAAAAUUAAAUGCUGUUAAUUCCUUUUUUGUAUUUUAAAACUAAAAAUGGAAAACUCGCCGACGCCCAACACAGCCUAACGAUUUUCGGUUAUAAUUCGCUUUCGUUUCGUUUCGUUUCGUUCGCCAAAGCCGAGAGAGCGAAGAAUGGCAUUCAAACUUCAACAACUACCUCUUUCUUCCUCUCUUCACUCCUCUCCCCGCCAAAACCCUAAUUUCGCACUUUCAAACCUUCGUCUCCCUCGUCUCUUCUCUGCACCUUCUCUUCCUCUCACUCUCCGUCUCUCAACCACAGCUUCAGCAUCCUCGUUUCAUCGCACUGCAUUCGUAACUGCUCGCGCAUUUCGAAGCGAUGAACUCGCUGACGAAGGCGAAGGCGAAGAAGAAGAAGAAGUAUCGAGGCAGGGUGAGAAAAAGGAACUGGCAAAUAAAGGCAUAUUGGAUCAGAUAAAGGAAAUUGUGAUGUUUACAGGUCCGGCAACCGGACUUUGGAUAUGUGCACCGCUUAUGAGUCUCAUUGAUACUGCAGUUAUUGGUCAGAGAAGCUCCAUUGAGCUUGCUGCUCUAGGUAUUGAAACGGAUUAAUUGUUGCUUAAUUCACAUUAUUAGGUUUUCUUUCAAUUACGUGAAAUAUCUAGUUUAUCUUAUUUUAAUCUCCUUCGCGCAGGUCCUGCUACUGUCGUUUGUGAUUACAUGAGCUACGUGUUCAUGUUUCUAUCAAUUGCCACUUCCAAUAUGGUUGCCACUGCCCUUGCUAAACAGGUUGGUAACAAAUGUGUGAGAUUGUUGGAUGUCGAAUCAGAUGCAUGUGUCGUUACACAAAAUUGAUGUUCUUAUUCUAAGUUGAACAAAUAUUGCGAAAACUGACUAGUAGUAAACACCUUGUCUCUAUCUGGAACAAUGGUUUUAGGAUUAACAUAUAGUUUGACUGGUCUUCAUGAAUAUAUCAGCCAUUUGCUUGCUGGUGUAACCAGCUUUGAGUGUGGAGAUAUGGGCGUAUUUGAAUAAUCUAUCAAUUACCACCAAAAUCACUUAAACCAUUGGAAGAGGGAAGCCCUGCGAUAAAAUACAUAGCUAAAUCUUCCCAAUUUGAUCUGGAAUAGGAAGGGGUUGAAGUAAACAAGCAGAAAGAGUAUUUUCAGUUUUAGCUUGUUGACAAACGAGGCAAUCCUGAACAUAUAUUGCUUGACAUCUUUGUGCAUGCCCUGCCGAUAAAUUGGGCUGUUAUUCUGGACAAGUUGUAGCCACACCAGCAUGUACCUCUAGCAACGAGCUAUGAAACUCAUACCUAAUCUGUUUUUUUAAUUCAUGUUCUGCUAGAAUAACUAGCCUGCCUUUCAAUUAUAACAAUUGAUAAUGUACUGUGUAAUAGUCUAGAAUCAGCACAUACAGCCUCUUUCAGCAUUGAAUGGUUGAGAUCAGGCCACGAAGAAUGAUCUUGAUAAUGAAUCUGCUGUCUCAUUAUCUUUACCAGGUUUAUAUUCAAUUGUGAAGUCAUAGACCAACAAUUUGGGUAGCCAAUAUUUCUGUUCCGGUGUCUGGAGUACUUUAUCAGUUAAACUCCUCAAACUGUUCUGAUCCAUCAUAAUCACAAAUUUCUGGCCAAGGAGGUAUGUCCCGAACUCAACAACCACCUCAGAUAUAGCAUAAAACUCCCUGCUAUAGUCUGACUGCUUGUGCAUUCUAGUCGUCAAUUGGAUGGUGAUUUUUGCUCAACACAGCACCUAUACCUAAUCCUGAGGCAUCUGUUUCCAAGACAAAAGUUGAGAAAAUCAGGAAGAGUAGGACUGGGGCCUGAACAAUGGCAGUUUUGAGAUCUACAAAGGCUGUGGCAGUAUGAUUAUCUCUGUGGAAAUUUUCUUUCUUAAAUAAAUGUUAAGAGGGAUGGUUAAUCAAGCAUAACUUUUUAUAAAUCUUCUAUAGUAUUCUGUAAGUACAAGAAGGCCUCCUAACAGAUUAAGAUUCAAAGGUAUAGGCCAAUCCAACAGUACCUGGAUUUUACUUUUGUCCAUUCCCACUCUUUUACUUGAGACUGUGUUCCAAAUAAUCUACUUGCGGCAAUCCAAAUGAGCAUUUAUAUAAUUCGCACAAAGUCUAUGGUGCUGCAAUAUCUGAAGUAGCACCUCCAAGUGAGACUAAUGGGGUGGGAGGACCAAGAAGAGCUAUAAAUCAAUAUAUCAUCAAAGAAUACCAAGGCAUAUUUCCUCAAGAAGACCUUGAAAAGCUUCAUUCAUAAGCUCUGAAAAGUUGCAGGGGAAAUUAGUUAUUGUCCAAAUGCUUUCAUCAACCAUUCAUAAUGGUCGUGGUGAGUUCUGAAUGUUGUCUUAUGUCUAUCAUCAUCCUCCCUGACUAAAAUUUGAUGAUAUCAGAAUCUUAAAUCCAGCUUAGAGAAAUAAGUUGCUCCAUCUAAUUCAUUAACAACUGGCAUAGGGAAACUGUCUUUUAUCAUAAUUCAUUCAUAGCACUAUAAUCAAUACAAAUCUUCGUGUGCCAUCUUUUUUACAAUAGGAGAGGAAAAGGAGCCAGUGCUUGUCACAAUAAUACCUUCUUGUAGCAUGUCUCAAAUCAUACUCUUAAUUUUCUGUUUCUGACUUAUAUGUACUUCAUUAAAAACAUAGUAUUGACACCUAACCUUCGAUGUUGCAAUAUUUAAAUAUGUGGUAAUGCAAUGACCUCAUCUUUAUCUAGUAUUACUUGAUUUGACUAAAUCUACAUGACCUUGUAGAUUUCAAUCUGCAGAUCUAACUAGUGCACUUUUGGGACUUACACUAAUUUUUUCUCGAGCUUGUGUAGGACAAACAAGAAGUACAACAUCACAUAUCUAUCUUGUCUUUUGUUGGGUUAUCUUGUGGCGUUGUGAUGCUUUUGUUCACUAGGCUAUUUGGUGCUGCAAUAAUAACUGGUAUUGAAAAUAGAGUGCUUUAGUCACUUGUGUUCUUUGACACAUUUUGAAGAACAAGAAUUCACUUGUGCUAGAAGGGUAGCAGAAUCAAUCCCAUAACCUAUGAUUUUUCUAUUUAUGCAGCUUUCACUGGGUCAAAGAAUGCACACAUAGUACCUGCAGCUAGCAGUUAUGUAAAGGUUUGUUUCUACUUGUUUUUAUAUGUUUUGAUUUAAAUAAAGACUGUAAUUAACAUUCUAUGAAUUCAAGAAGUUACUUGACAUGUUAUAUAUGGAGGGAAGUAAUGCAGAGGGUGAUUAAAUGUGUUUCUAUUAUCCGUUUUCACCUUUUAAUUAAAAUAGUCAACCUUGUUUAUAAUUUGAUUCAUAUUUCAAAUAUUUAUACUGGAAACAUUAAAAACAUUUUUUUUUUCUCAUACAAAUUCUUAAUAACAAAUUGAAAAUAAGUUGCUGUUUUUUAGUUUGAAAAUAAAAUCAACAAUUGAAAAUGGGAAAUAAAAAUGCAUGUAAAUUUCACCAAUUUUUUUAUUUGCAAUUCUAGAUUAAGAAUAACAUGACAAUUCUCAAAAACUGCUAAUAAGAUUUUGCUUUGUGUUUCCUAAUUAUAAACUGUGGUGUUCUCCUCUUAAUUUACUGCAGUGAUUUUUCGGUUACUCUGUUUUUGUUAGAUUCGAGGCUUGGCAUGGCCUGCUUUACUUGUUGGAUGGGUUUCUCAAAGUGCAAGGUGCAACUAUGCUUAUUUCUAACAUCUGAGUCUCUGAAGGGAUAGGUUUUGUUCAAUCUGAGUUAAUGAUCUCGAGGCUUGAUAUUCUAUUUCAUGUAGCAAUUGAUAUCAUGUAGGAAAUACUAUUCAAUAUAAUAAUAGAUUUGUCUUGAUAAAUUCUUGGAAACUAUUGGCUAAAGUUCCCUUGCUUUGACAUUUCUCAGACAACAAGGUUAAUUUACUACGUCUUUGUGUUGAAUAUAUAUUGUCUGUAUCUUGUAUUUUGAACUAAGUAUGCAGUUCCUCUUUCUAAACUGUGUAAACAACUUUUUUAGGCUGCUCUUACAAUUGGCAGCUUAAUAUAAUACCAAUUGUCAAUGUUUGCUUUGAAAGAUUUCAAAGAAUGGUGAGCGUUGGCUUAUUAAUUUAAUUGCACAUUCUGUAGUCUUGGCAUGAAAGAUUCCUUGGGACCCUUGAAGUCUUUGGCUGCUGCUACUGUUAUAAAUGUUAUUGGUUGCAUAGUUUUGUGCACCUGGUUAGGCUAUGGAAUUGUAGGGGCAGCGUGGGCUACAAUGGUUUCACAAGUAUGCUGAGCUAACCCUUAUGCAUUGUAUUAUAUGUGGCUCUACCUACUCUCAAAGUACUCUCUCUUACUCGUUAUAUACUAUUUUCCUAUUCUCAUACUGAUUCCAGGCUGCUGCUGCUUACAUGAUGAUUCAAAC